UCAAGUAUAAUAGUAUAUGAGAAUAUUAAAAUAAAGUAUCUAUACAAAAUAUUGUAAAAUAAUACGAUAAUAAAAUAGUGAAAUCAUCAUGAAAAUUUAAAAAGUGUGCAUGCACAUGCAUAUAAAAGAGAUUUAAGUGAAUUAAAAAAGGGUAAUGAACUCUACAAAUCAAUGGGAUCUAAUUAAAAUUAAAUUAAAAUGAAUGGGCUGAUUUAAAAAUGGAAUAAUCAAAAGAGGAUCAAAGUGCGAAGCACACAAAUUCGUAAGGACUCAGCCUGGAAAUAAUCCAGUUCCCAGAACGCAGUGUUUAGGCGCGGAUUAGAUUGCAACAAAGCACAAAUUACACGUCCAAAUCGAAGAAAAAAAAGGGCAAGGCGCAUAAGGCGCAAUCGAAGGCUCGCGCGAUCAUGGGGGACCUAGCGCGAAAAUUUCCCAUUCUGAGUGAAAAGGCGCGGAUCCGGGUUGACGCGCGGACCCCCAAUGUCCCAAAUGGCGCUGUUUUCUUUUUUACAAAGGUUUUAAUGCCCUAUUUCCUUUCUCUUUAGACGCAGCCAUGCCUUUAACCCAAAUUAAUAACCCCAACAAUCAGUUUGCUAGGGAUUCUUUUGCCAGCAACCGAACCACCAUGAUAUUUUGGUGAUCAACAGCAUGCAAACAGCACCCGAUCCGACCAUUGAAGGUGCUCGACCAUUCCUAAAGGAUUUGGUAAGUCAUUCGACCCCCUUUGCCCCCUUUUUUAGAAACCUUCAAAUUAUUUUUACUCUUUUGAAAACCAAGCAAAGAUUUGAAGUGAAAUUCUUGACCCUCGCCCGUAUCUACUCGUUUUCGAGAUGUUUUUGGGCUUUCAUUGGAAUCGAUUCACACAUUGAAAAGGAAAUCGAGUCAAAAAAGAAAAAAAGAAGAAAUAAAUCGGAAGAAAAAGAAAAAAGAAACAAGGAAACUUGAAAUCACCUUUUCUAUCUUUUGAUUUCUUUUCUCUCUUCUGUAUGCGUGUGUUCGUAAAAUAUGCGUAACCAAAUACAAUUGAUCCAUUCUUGGCUUUAUAGCCGAAACUAAAAAAGAAAAAAUCAAAAAUCAAAAUACAAUAUUCCAUUGCUUUUUGCUGCUGCUGUGUUUGUCUUGUUCGCAGGUACGGAGUAGAGGACAUACGCUGGCCCUUGGCGUGAGGCGUACGAAGGGUGGACGUGGCGCUGCUGAGGCGUAAGGAGGUAGCUGGCGUGAUGUGGUUAGGCCGUUCGUGAGGACUGCGGCGCAAGGAGCCCUUUGCCCUAGGGUUUGCCGAAAGUUGGCUUAGUUUUUGGGCCGUUUGGGCCUGUUCUAGUUAUUGGGCCAUUGUAUUUGGGCUAUGGGGUAUUGGGUUAGGUUAUGUAUUGGGCCAAAGUCUGUAAAUAGACAUUUAAUGGACUGUGGGUUUUUAUUAUAUUUUUUUAAUUUAAUUUUGGUUUUUGGUUGUUGGGCCCAGGCAGAUUUGGCCCAUUACAACGUUUUUAACCGUUAUUUAUCAUCUAAUAUGUUUUUUUGGUAAUAUUUAUAUUAGGUAUGUAGUUAUUUCUUUUUUGAAAUUUAUUUCGUAAAUUUAUAUUUCAAUUUGUAAUGAUUAUAUUUGCUGUGAUUUUAGUACUAGAAAUAUGAUUUAUAUAUUCAAAUUAAAAUUUAAAAAUAAUUUAUAUUAAUUGCUUAAAAAUAUUUAAAAUUUAUAUUUCGUAUAUCAAAAUAUUAAUAAUGCGUAAUAGUAACUUUUUUUAUUUAGUUUUCGUUAUAAUUUAAGUUGAUAUAUUUCAUACAUUAUAAUAUUAACGAUUUGAAGAUAAUUAAAAUGCAUAUUUUUUACUUUACAAUAUCAUGUCUAACUUUGACAUUUUGUUUCUUUAAAAGUACUUAUUGACAAUAAUGAUAAACAACUAAAUUUUAAAUCAAACUUUUCAAAACCAUUAAUCCAUAUUUUUUAAAAAUACUUUUUGAAAAUAAUACUAAACCUAUCCCUAAUAAAUAACUCAAGAUUAUUUUGAUGAAGAUGAUACUAACAUUCCAUUAGAGAUUUCAAUUUGUUUUUUUUUUCUCUUUUUGGUCAAAAUGAGAGUAUUAAUAGCUAACAAUAAUGACUAUUUUUCUUGUUGUGAAUGCUCUUUGAAGAGAUAAAUGACUGGCCACAAAAUGUGCUCCAUUCACAUGAGUGGGGAUUAAACCCCACCCACAUGAUUAAGAGACAAGGCGAGCAACCAUCGUACCACACCUUAUGGUUAGAUUUUUUGAGCCUUUUCAAAUUCCCAAAACACUUUGGGAGCGUUUGGUAUAAUGUAAAGUGAUAACUUUCGUGGGAAUUUAAUCAGUUGAAAAGUGAUUCCAAUGUUUGGUAUGUCUUUUUUUUUUUUUUAAACUUUCCUUAAAAUCUAACUUUCCCUUAGGUGUUAAUUUCCUAUAAACAUGGCAAUAUGAUUUCUAUGAUAAAAGAUGGGAAAGUUACUUUUUCAUAUAGAUUGAAAAGUUGAAAAAAUAGUAAGACAAAAUUAACCCUAUUUUAUAUUGGUUUAGGGUAUUAGUAUUAAUAAAGGUUAAAAAAAAAAAGCUAUUGUCCCCUUUUUCCUUCCCAUUUUCUCUAUUGCUUCAAUGGAUUCUUUGCAAAAAAGUUUAUUUUUAUUUUUAUAUGCAUAUUUAAUCAUUUAUAUACUAUAUUGUUUAUUGAAGAAAUGAGGGGUACUUGGUUUGCAAAUAGAAACUAUGGCUAAAAUAGUGCUGGGAACUAUGAUCAUAGUUUCAACUACUAAAUCAAAAGUGAAAAAAUGUACAGAUGAACACCAAGAUUAUUUACGCAGUUCGACCUUAGUCUACGUCUACGAGGCCUUGCCCAGAGAAAUGAUCUACUAUCUUUCUCAUAAUACAACCGAUGAUUUAAGUGUUAACAAUUAUCUAACUCACACCAAUUUAGUGACCUCACUAUUGUAUAAAGACUAGAUUACUCUCUCACUAAACUUCCCUCUUGAAAACUUAGUUUUGCAAUACAAGAGACACUCUUGAUUGCUUACAAAAAUAAUGCACACAUAAAAUGUUCCUAACUUGAAUAAAUUUUUUGCUCUAUCAUGUCUCUUAGUUACUCUUCAACCUAGACAAAACUUAAGUUUAUAUAUAUUAUUUAAGUUUUUCUUACAUAAGAGUCAUAGUCUAAUCACUUUUCUACAAAGUAAAGCUAAAAAUCAGCAUAUGAUAAUAAUUCCAUAAGAGCCUCGGUGUAAUACGAGGUCUUCAAAUAUAGAAAAUGGCUUUACUUGAUCUGCAAGUAAUCAAUCUUUAAGUCUUCAAUUUUAACUCAAUUAGUCAUCAUGUUUUGGACUCUAACUCGUCUAAAUAUUAAAAAAAAAAGAUAGACUAAUGCUUUUGUUUAAAAAUUUUGCCAAUUCUGAAAAUAGGUAAGUACGAUAAUGAAACAAUACCUGAAAUUGUAGUUACUGUUUCAGCCACAAAAUUUUUCAUUACCUUCAAAUGUGUCAACAAUUUGCAUAUUAUAUUUAUUUUCUAUUAUUUCUCUCUCUCUUGUUUUUUUUAUUGGUGCAAUUAUCUCCUAUAUAUUUGUAAAAUUAACUAUCUUUUCUCAUCCCAGAUAAGAUGAAAAAAAUUUAUGUGAAGGAGUUACUUAAUGGCUUAUGUAAAGGACUUUAUUUUCAAUUAUCGGAACUAUGCUAGGAUGAUAUACAUUCUAUUAUUUCUAUUUAAGACAUAUUAUUAUGUGACAUUUAGGAAAUUUUGAUCAUAAAUAAAAUUUUAUUUAUAAUAUUAUUUUUAAACAAAAAUCAACAACAAUUUUUUUUAUGAAAAUAAAGAAUCCAACUCUUGUCUACCCACAAAAAUGAAAUAAUUUGGAUGUGUUUUGAGGUGUAAUAUGCGAAUAUAUAUCAAAGUCCUUGUCUAUAAGGAAGUUGUUAUGUGAGAAUUUGUGGAGAUAAUAUUUAGUUAUUGUAUGUGAGAAUGAGAAUAGGAUAACCAACUCUUCUCUACCUACAAAUAUUUAGUUUUUGCCAUAAAGAAUCUUGUAUAUUCAUUCAUCCUAUCAAAACCCUUCUUACAAACAAAAUCAAAUCUGUAAAAACUGAGAUCUGUAGACAGGAGCAAAACCUGAAACAUUUUACUCUAGAUCUAGGAGAGUAAAAACAAACAUGAGAAGCCGUACGUCCUUGUCCAAAAUCAAUACACUAAGACAAGAUGGCCCAAAUUGGAACGCUACCCAAUCAGCACCAUGUCUAAUCUUGAAGAAACCUUAGUUGACAUUAGUAAUGAAACCUAAUAUAAAUAUUUGGAUAACAAUUUUUAUCCAAAUAUUUAUAUUCUUGAUAAUAAUAAUAUUUUAUUCUAAUAGAGGGUAAGUAAUGUAUUACACAAUUAAAGAUAGUUUGGUUGGAUCAAAACUCUCUCUAUAUAAUAAGUACUAUAUUUUUAUUGUACCAAAAUUAGCUAUUAUCUAAUUUUAAUUUGGAUCGGAAUAAUUUUAAUCUUUAAGUAGAUAUAUUUAUGGUCAAACCCAAGUUUUGAUUUAACUUAUAUAUAUAUAUAUAUAUAUAUAUGAUAAUAUGCUUGUCCACACCUAACUCGUUAGUUUAUUUUCAUCAUCUCCUAUUAUUUUUCUAAAAAAAACCAAUUUAUCUUUUGUAAUUCUUAAAUUUUUUUAUUUAAGGUCAUGUAGUACUUAGCAUAUAUUUUUAAUAGGGUUAAAUUUAUUUUUAGGGUUUAAACUUGAAAAUUAUUUUUAAAUCGGAGUUUGAUAUUUCCUUAAAAAUCUUAAUGUUCCGGCCUCAAUAUGGGAACAAUUGUCAACUUUAAAAACUAGCAUGGACAAAAAAAAGUUCAAGUCCUAAUAUGAGAACAAUUGCUUAGUCCAAGCCUCAAUAUAGGAACAAUUAUCAAGUUUAGAAAUUAACUUAAAAAAUAUUCAAACCCCAAACAAUAAUUUAACCUUUUUAAUAUUUACUUUAUUAUAAUACAUAUUUAAUUAUUUAUGAUAUGAAUUACAUAAAUAUGUUUUGCUCAAAGAUAAAUUUUGUCGUCCAAUCCAAAUCCAAAUUAGAUUGAGUUUGAAAUAGGAUAAUUUGGAUCUAAUCAAAUUUAGAUUACUAUAUAAUAAAAAUAUGGGUAAAUUAUAUAGAUAUUCAUUUAAUUAUAUAAAAAUUCAUUUUAGGCAAGUUACAUAAUUUGAUUAUUUUGACUUUUUAUUUAUUUUAUUUUAGGUACUUAAAAUGAAAAAUUUUGAUAAAUGAGUGAUUGUAUGGUUUACCCUAAAAAUAUAUUAUCUAAAUAUAAUUAUUAAAAUAUUUAAAGAUUGAUAAAAAAAAAAUCUAUUUUAAACAAGAAGUAAAAUCUUAUAAGUUUGUUUAAUUAAUUAAAUUUAGUUUUUUGAGUUUAGACUUGUAUGGACCGAGUUCAAAUCGUGCUAUGUGAAGGACAUUCAUUUAGCAAGAGUUCAAAUCGUAUUACCCAUCUCUUACCUAAUAUUAUAUAAAAAAAUUGUUAUUUUUUUGAAAGCAUUAAUUGAAAUUGUUGAAGUGAUGAAAAGGGGAUUUAUUUGAUUGUCUUAUUAAUUGAUUUAACUAGGUUUUAGAAAUAUAGGUGAAGUUCUUAGCUCAAGACAAUAUGUGGUUUGAAAGAGUAAUUCUUUGGCGGCCCGCAUUGAAACUCUUUAAUUAUAAACACAAAGAUGCGAUUAUUUUCAAUCCAACUUCUCUAAUUUGGAAAAGGUUAGCAAUUAUUUCCAAAUUUUAUAUCAUUUUAUUUUUAUCACGUUUUUAUUAAUUCAAAUAAUUUGUCUUUGAUUUAUUCUUUUUGAAGGUAAAUCGUCUAUGAUUUAUUAAUUUUAUAAGUGUUUGUCUAAAAAUUUUCGAAUAAGUGAUAGUUUUUUCGGUCGAGUUUAAAUUAUAUUAGAAUAAUUUUAAAAUGUUAUUUUUUAGGUAUUUAAUAAGAUGUGUUAUUUCAUUUUUUAAAAUUUUUUAAUUAAUAUUAUACAUUUUUUUUUACUUUACGUUAAUUUUCUUUAAUAAUAUUUUAACUCUAAUUAGUAUUUGAUUAAUUAAAUAAAAUUAAUAUAAAAAUUUAACAGAUAAUAAUAGUAAGGGAAUGUUUAUGGUUUUUUUCAAGAUUUAUGAUUUAUGAUAUAGUGAGAUAUAGGAUUUAGGAAUUUAAUAUUUAUGAUUUUAGAAAAAAAUGUUAGAUUAAGGUUUUAAGUUUUAGAAUUUUAUAAAAAAAUUAAUUUAUUAAUAUUAGAAUUAAAAAUAGUAAUAAAAAAUUUAAUAUAUUUUUUAUGCACUUUAAAAAAAAAAUGAUAUGGCAUAUAAUUAUAUGGGUGUGAUUUUAGGAUGAUACUAAUGUAUGUUGAACUCUUCUUUUGUAAGCUAAACGCAUAGACAAUGACGUUUUGUUUGCCUCUCAAGGACGGCAAUAAAUAAUCAAAAACCAUAUGGUUAAUAUUAUUCAAUUUCAUUUCUGCAGAUUUCAAUAUUACAAAUUUAGAUAAUUUCUAAAAUUUAAAUGUUAAGAUUGAUUUAAUAUUUAAUUUAAUAUAUUAAUUUUGAUUAUGGUUCAAUUGUAUACGUUUAAUUUAAUAAAUAUAUCAAUUUAUUUUUAUAUUAGAUAACUAUAAUUAUUUAUGUAAAAUCCAUAAAAUUAUAACUUAAUAUAUGGUAAACUUGCAAUUUAGCCCUCUAAAAAUGAUAAAAGUGUGAUUUAGUCCUAGCAACUUUAAAGAUAUAAGCUAAUACAAUGGUGAAAUUGCAUCUUAGCUUUCAUAAAAAUAUAUAACUUAAUUUUUUCCCUCUAGAAAUUUUUUUUUAUCUUUGUCACCCAUGUAAAAUGAUCUUAUCAAUAAUAAUGUUAAUGGUUUGUGAAAAUUAAAUCAAAUCAAUAUCUUAUGUGUAAAAUUACACAAAAUUAAAUUCGAUCACAAGAUUGUACAUUAGACCAAAGUUAAUGUGUAGUUUUGAACUUUAUCCUGAUUUACAAUCUGUAGAAAGGCAUAAUGAGCAAUUUAGUUCUUAAUGUUUACAUCUUUUUCCAAUUUGGUCAUUAUUCAUUUUUUAGCUAAAUUUGACCCAUAAACUUUUAAUUGUUGUUUUUUUUUAAUGCAAAUACUGAUUAAAACGUUAAAUUUUUAAACAUGGUAGCUCACAUAGCAAUCCAUGUGUAAUUCAAGCUUCUUCUUUUUUUUUUUGAAUUUUUAAUAAUUUUUUAUGUGAUAUAUAAAGCAAAUAGUAUCAUAUCAAAAUAAAGUAAAUAUGGACUACCACGCAUGUUAUGUCAAGAUUAUUAAAAAAAAUGUUUUAAUUAACAUUUUCAUCAAAAACAAUGAUUUUACUCUUUUUGAAAUAUUACCAUUUUAGCUGAAAAAAAUAAUGAUCAAAUUGACAAAAAAUAUAAAAUAUUGAGGGCUAAAUUUAACAUUAUAUAUUUUUUUUUAUAGAAAUAUAUAUGGGAUGUUGAAUUCAUUAUAAUUAUGUCUCGGAUAGUAUUUGAAUCUAUUAUUUUAAAUAAUGUGUUUGGAUAUAAUAUCUUAACUUCAUCUCCAUACGUAAUUCUUAUUUUAUUUUAUAUUUUCAUCAUUAAUAAAUAUUGAUUUAAUCGAUUUGGCUAUUUAAUAUUCUUACAAUAAAUCAAUCAUAGAUAAAUUCGGUUUAUCAUGUAAUUUUUAAACAUUUCAAAAAUUCCAAACAGCCCCGGCCGGCCGGCCGGCCGGCCAUUUAUAUGUGUCUAGAUAGGUAGAAGGUCGCUAUACGCUGGAGCCGGUGGACAAGACAUUUGAAGAGUUGACUAGUCAAGGUUUCACAGCUGAUAUUCCAAAGACAAUAAUCUAAUGAAACUUAAAACCUCAUUAAUCUAUUUUCAUUUACUUAUACAUAUUCAAGGCCUGAGAUACAAUUUUCAUUUUCACACGAUCAGAACUUCAGAUGUAUAUUAUAUUUAUUGCAGUCUAUGCUGAAACUCGUCAGGAGAUGGUUUCAUUGAAAUCUUGCAACUCAUUUCAAAUCAACAACUCCAAAUAAACGUUUUGACUGAAGAAUUAGUCUUUCCAAUGUGUUACUAUAUGUCAGGAAUAAAAGCCACAGAAAUAUUCUACGCACGCAUUUGCCUCCAAAAACACGCAGAGAAAUGAAGGCCUCCAUGGGAGAUGAAAGACGAGCUUCGCAUCUUGCACUUGUUUGCCUGUUACUAGCAGCAGUUGCAGCAGCAGAAUCAACGCCAAUAGCCAAGCUCGGUUGCCAAGACAGAUGUGGGAACGUCAGUAUCCCAUAUCCAUUUGGUACAACGACGGAUUGCUAUCUCAAUGAAGAUUUUUACAUAGCUUGUAAUUCGACUCACUAUGAUCCUCCACGAGCAUUCUUAACAGGAAGCAAUAUAGAGGUGACAAACAUAACUGUCGGAGGCAAAUUGCGGAUUAUGCAAUUUAUAGCCCGCGAUUGCUACAAUAAAUCGGGCUUCCCAGUUUCCAGCAAUACUCCUUCCAUCACGCUGUCCAAAUUCAGGGUCUCGGAUACUGAUAACAAGUUCGUUGCCAUUGGCUGCGAUACUGAAGCAACCAUUCAAGGUGUUCAAGACGCCAAGGGAUACACGAGUGGGUGCAUAAGCAAGUGUGACAGUAUUGACUAUGUGGACAAUUUCACAUGUUCUGGUAUAGGCUGUUGCCAGACAUCCAUUGCUAAAGAUGUAGGGUAUUUUGACAUUUCUGUAAGAAGCUACAAUAAUCACCAAGGUAUCUGGGAUUUCAAUCCCUGCAGCUAUGGCUUUGUUGUUGAAGAAAAUAGCUUCAAUUUUUCUUCGAAUUAUCUUCGUGAUCUGCAAGAUGUAACCAUGAUGCCCAUGGUGCUUGAUUGGUUUAUCGGGAACGAGACGUGUGAAACGAUAAAGACCAAGAGUUCGGGUGAUGUAUGUCAGGGAGAUAGCACUUGUUAUAACGUGGAUAAUGGAUCUGGAUAUCGUUGCAAGUGCUUGGAUGGCUAUCAAGGAGAUCCAUACCUACCUAAUGGUUGCCAAGGUAUUUUACUUCUUUAUUUCCGCAAAUUCAAUUUCCUUCAGAUUUUCAACAGUCUUAGUUAUUUAGAGGUUAUACUAGUAGCUCCUUUUUGGUGAAAUUGUGGUGGGAAUGGGAUCUAUUCUUUUACAGACAUAGAUGAAUGUAAAGACCCAAAUCUCAAUAAAUGUGAAAAGAUAUGUGAAAAUACAAAAGGAAAUUACACGUGCUUGUGCCCCAAGGGUUAUCAUGGAGAUGGAAGAGCAGAUGGUACAGGAUGUGUUGCCAAUCAAUCUGGAGGAUCACUUAUAAUUGAGCUUACUGUUGGUAAGGAGUUCUAUUCAAUUUCAGUCUUACAAGUUCUCUGCUAUACUAUUUAAGCGUCCUAUAAUGCUCAUCUUCUGAGUCUCAAAAUGGAUUCUAAUGAUUGUUUUAUGACAACCAUGGAAUAAUAGGGCUUGGCGUAGGCAUUACAGUAUUGAUAGCAGGUAGCACUUGGUCGUACUGGGCAUUCAAGAAGUGGAAGCUCAUCAAACUUAAACACAAGUUCUUUCGACAAAAUGGAGGCUUGAUGUUGCAGCAAGAACUGUCCAGGCGGGACUCUUCCACUGAAACGGCUAAAAUUUUCUCAGCUGAGGAGCUGGAGACGGCCACCAACAACUACGAUGAAAGUAGGAUUAUUGGUCGAGGUGGUUAUGGCACAGUCUACAAAGGAACUCUAUCAGAUGGGAGAACCGUAGCAAUUAAGAAGUCCCAAGUUGUUGAUGAAAGCCAAAUCGAUCAAUUCAUCAAUGAAGUUGUUGUGCUUUCCCAAAUCAAUCACAGGAAUGUGGUGAAGCUUUUAGGUUGUUGCUUAGAGACGGAAGUUCCAUUACUGGUUUAUGAAUUUAUCACCAAUGGUACUCUCUUUGAGCAUAUCCACAACAAAAGCAAGGCUUCUUCCUUGACAUUUGAAACCCGGUUACGUAUAGCAGCAGAAACUGCAGGUGUGCUCUCAUAUCUGCAUUCCUCAGCUUCCAUACCAAUCAUUCAUAGGGAUGUCAAGUCUACCAACAUACUCUUGGAUGAUAGUUACACUGCCAAAGUAUCCGAUUUUGGAGCUUCGAGGUUGGUUCCACUAGACCAAGCCGGGAUAUCAACGGUGGUUCAAGGGACCCUCGGAUACCUGGACCCUGAAUACUUGCAGACAAGUCAGCUGACAGAGAAAAGUGAUGUUUAUAGCUUUGGGGUAGUCCUUCUAGAGCUACUGACCGGACAAAAAGCACUUUGUUUUGAAAGGUUAGAAGAGGACAGAAAUCUCGCAAUGUAUUUCAUUUCAGCUUUGAAAGAAGAUCGCUUGGUGCAAAUUCUUGAGAAGUGCGUAGUGGAUGAAGCGAAGAUAGAGAUGGUUGAGGAAAUUGGUAGCCUUGCAAGGAGGUGCUUAAGAGUGAAAGGAGAAGAAAGGCCCACAAUGAAGGAAGUCGCAAUGGAGUUGGAGGGGUUGAGAAUGAUGCUGGAGCAUCAUCCAUUGGUAAACAACGAUGAGUCGAGGUUAGAAGAGACUGAGUAUUUGCUCGGUGAACCAUCGUUGAAAAUUGGUUCUAAUGGCGGUAUGAAUAAUGUUACAUAUGAUAGCAUCACAGAUCAUAUAAUUUUACAAGUUGGUCAUGGAAGAUAAUAGUUUCAAUCUUUCACCUCAGGAUUUAUUUUUCUAAACUUACAAAUCUUUUUGUUUGUAUUAAAAAAAAAAUACUUUGUAAAUUUUCUAAUUUUUUAUAUCUUAAUUUUUUUUUCCAAAGUCAUCCAACGUUAUGUCAUUGCUAUCAAAUUAUAUUACCAUUUUAAAUAUUUUUAUAGAAAUAUAAUUAAUUAAAAUAGUCGCCGUUGUAUUACAUCAAAAUUAAAUUUAAAUUCAAAAUAUAAAUAAAUGUAAUAAACUUUAAAACAUAGUAUCAAUAAAAAAUAAAUAUGCAAUCAUUCUGUAUUUUAAUUUUUCUAUAUUUACAUACACUCGAAUUGUUCAAAAUAUGAAUAUUAUAAUAUUUUACUAUAAAAUUAUUAAUUAAUUUGAUGUAGUAAUUUUAAAAAUAUAUAAUUGUUAAUUUAAUUGUAAGUUAAUUUUUUAAAUUAUAAAUUUUAAUAUAAAUAUAUAAUUUCAAUUGGAUAUUAUAAAGAUUAUGAUAUUUGUAUAAAUACAUAUAUAUAUUUUUAAUUUGUUAACAAUUAAUAAAAAAAUUGAAAAUUGUAAUAAAAAAAUUUACAAAUAUAUUUUAUUAUCAAUUUUUAAUAUUUUUAUGAUUUAUGAUUUAUUAUUUUAUGCAUAAUAUUUUUAUCUUGUAUUAUAAAUGAUUUAUCACUACUUUUAUAUUUAUGCUAUUAAUUGAUUAUAAAAUAUUAUUAUUUAUAUAAGUUGAAAUUUAAUUAUAAGUUGAUAAAAUUUUAAUUUAAAAACAUGUAAAUUAAUGAAUUAAUCAAUAAUUUCACUUUUUUUAGUAGUUCAUUAAUAAAUUAAAAAGUAACUCUAAACAUAACACUACCAGUCAUAUCGGCUUUAACAAAGCUGGAGCAUAAAGCUCGACAUAGACAACAUAGUCUUUAGAAGAGUCUCUUACAAAGCAAACUAGGAGUGCUGCCCUUUCUAGCCAGUACAUCAAGGCAACUAUUUCUCUCCCUGAAAUUAUAAAGCAAUCAACUAUUCUGGAAAGCCUCCAAUAAAGUCUUGCAAACAUUCACCAAGGUGUUGCAAAGCAAAUCUGAACAAGAUUGAUUCUUAAUAAUAACUGUAGUAGCAUCAACUUCCACAAUGAUAUCAACAAUGUUCAAAUUUAGCAACAGUUUUUUGAAGAAUAGUUGAGAAAUCUAUGACAACCAGACACCCAUGUUACUUGGAAAUCUCGAAUUAGAGCUCCAGCUCCUACUGAACCAGGAUUUCCUAUCGAAACACCGUCACAGUUAAGUUUGAACCACCCAAUCUCUUGUGAAGUCCAUUUCACUUUGAUGAAUCUUGGCAUAUUUGUAUACUUGAUCUUAUUGGAGAUGGAAAAGAUCUCCGUUGCAUUAGCAAGUGCAGUUGGGAUAAUCAAAUCAGGAUUGUACUGCUUUCCAAAGACUUUAGCAUUCCCACCAACUAAAUAUAUCUCAAUAUAGAUGAAAACCAAGUACUAAGGUAUUUUUUUCUUUGCCAGGUAUAAAAACAUUUUGCUAAAGAGUUCACUUCAAUCCAGUCCUGAAAAGGAAGGUUGAAGGUAGAAAGAAGUUGAGGUGAAAUUCCAAUCUUGACCAGAUUUCAAAAACAACUUGAGAGUCUCAAAGGAUAUGGUUAAGUGUGUCUGUACCCGUUGCGUAAAAGGGCCAACAAUCUUGCAAGUUUAAGCCAUGUUUAUUAAGGAAAAAAACUAUGGGAAGGAUGAGGUGAGCGAUCUCCCAUAAGAAAAAGGUCAUUUGGGGGAUAAGAUUGAUUUUCCAUAUUGAUAACUUGUUUUAGUAUAGUUUUUUUUAAGGAGGUUAUUUUAGCAUUUACUUUAGUUUUUAGUGCAUUUUAUAGUUUUUUUAUAUUAAUUAUGUUUUAUUUAAUUUUUAUUAUUUUUAGAUUUAGUUGAAUUUAUUUAUUAUUUUUCUAUUUACAUUAUAAGUUUUGAAUGAAGAACAAAAUGUUUGGAGUAUAGAAUAAGAAAAUUGUGAAAAGAAGUCUAUCGCUCCAUCGAAUAUCGAUGUGGUGGAGCACAAUUUUCACUCAAAAUUUUGAAACAUCAUGCAAUUUGCUCCACUGCAUUUCUGUGUCUGGAUGAGCAAAACGAUUAAAACCCUACAAAUAAGGAGUGGCGUGAUUUAAGAGAAAAGAGGGAGAAAAGAAAUCAACUUGAAGGCUAAGAGGAGAAGAAAAAGAGAUCCAGAGCACUAGAUACUAAUUCAAUAAUUGUUUUUCUCUCUAGAUUAUUUCUUUUUACUUUAUCUUAAAACAAGUUUGUUUUGAAUUUUUUUUGUAAUGCUUUCUCAAAUCAGCAUGAAUUAAAUUCUAUUUUCUUGAAACAAUAACUAAUCUAAUUUGUAGUUAAUUAAUUUAUUCUCUCUUCAAUUAUUUCGAUCCUUGUUAAUUAUUUAUUCAACCCAUGCAUUUUUAAUCUACUUGUCUGGCCACAAAUUAAGUCGUAUUAAUUUGAUAAUCUUAAUUUGUCUUGGAAGAGAAAAUUAAUGUUUAGAUCUAGAUUGAAUAGAUAAGGAUUAAAUGUAGUAGGUCGACAAACUAGUUAAUUUGAGGCUAAAAUAAGAAAAUACCUGAUGCCCUAGUCAACCCAAUAUGUUUGAUCAUAGUGAUUUCACCCAACUUGCUUAGCAUAGGAAUAUAGCUAGUAGAGAAGGGGAAUUAGCUUAGCUAGAUACUGAAAGAGUCUAAUUAAUGUCAUUGAAUCAUGUGUUAGUAGUUAAAUAGAUUCAACAAUUGACUGAGAAAUAAUUUAUUAAUGGAAUUAGGUGAAUUUAGAGUUCUAAAAUCUUAAAAUUGAUUGAAAAACUUAGUAAUUUUCAUUGUUUUAGUUUAAUAAAAAUCUCUUUAAUUUGUUUAGUUUAAUUUUAGUUCUAAUUAUAAUUUAUUUUUCUUGAUCCAGAUUUAAUAAAAUUGAAUACUUGGUACUUAGCAGUUUAAAAUUUAAUCUUCGUGGGACGGUAUUUUCUUAUUACUUAAUUAUUUAAUUCGACAUGUGCAUUUCUGUAACAGAUUUUCAGACAUUACAUAUCCAGCUCUAGUCAUUACUAGAAUUUUAUGUUGUUGUUUCCUUUAUACCAAGGGCCAAUAGCUAUGCAGAUUCCAAAGAGCUAGAAGAUCCCGGUAGAAGUCAAAUUCCAUCCAAGAAUAUCCUUGCCUCUGCGAAAAGUGGAAGUUGAGAUAGCAUUUAGAACACUUGGAGAGAUGAGUUUUUCUUCAUUGAAUUUAAAGGGUUAGCAAUGAAUGAUCGAAGGGAAUGGAGCCCGACCAAUUUUGGUCCCAAAGAUUAACAGAGGUACCAUCCUUGACGAUCCAUUUGAAGCCAUCCCCAAAGUAACCUUGAAUGCUUUUGAGAGCAUUCCAAGUGACAGAGGGCUGUGAGGAAUGUUGAAGUUCUUGAAGAUACUUUAAUUUUAAGAUUUUAGCCCAAAAAGAUUUAGAGUUGUGUAAUAAUCUCUAGCAUAAUUUGAUAAGUUGGGCUGUGUUCUGAGCUCUCAUAUGUGAAAUCUUUAGUUUUUCUAAUCUUUUAGGUUUUGUAAAAAUUAACCGAUUGAUUCUAUAUAAUUUAAAUAAACUUGUGGUUGAUUUGAUUGAUUGAAGAAUAGAUACUAUUAGGAAGCUUUGACUAGUAUGAAAUAUUUUUAAAUUUUAAAAAAUAAAAAUAGAAAAAAAUAGAAAGUAUUUUAAUAAAUCAAAGCCUAAGUGUUGAAAUUUAAAUGAUAAAUUUUUAAUGUUAAAUUAGGGAUAAGUCACCAAUUAGUGUUGAGUGUGAACUUUUAAGUAGAGCAUGCAUAUUUGAACAUUGGAGACAAUAUUGUAAGGAUGGCAGCCACAAGUUUCAAAAAUAAAUUAUAAAAUGAAUAUGGAAUAUACAAACAAAAAAAAAUUGAUGUCAAUUUUAGCUUGUAAGUGGAUUAGAUGUAUAUGCAAAAAGAGAAAAGAAAACUAAUUGUAAGGUGUAGUGUAAUAAUUGUUGCGGAAGCGACGAUAAUAUUAAUAACAAUAUUAUCAGAAAUAUUUAGAUAAUUAUUAUGCCAACAAUUAUACUAAGAAAAUUCCCAGUUAAAUUGGAGGGGUCACAAAUGGUCCCGCUUAAAACCCAACAACUAGACAGAACUCACUUAGAUAUUUAUAGCAAUAAUAACUAAAUAAAUAUAACCAACAUAAAGCUAUUAAAUAUAAGCAAACAAAUAAGAAAUAAAAUACCAGAGAUUUAACGAGGUUCGGCCAAUUUAGCUUACGUCCUCGGACACUACCAAAUUAAUAUUUCUUCUAGAAAUAUUACAAAGGAGAAGAUUUUGGGAUGAUACAACCAAAGGGGGAGGGGUUCUAUAUAUAACAAACCAAACCCUCUCCCUUUCUAUCUUUUCCUAAUGUGGGAUAUUGCCAAUAUUCAACAAUAAUUACUCACCUCAUCCCAUAAUCAUGUGAUCAGAACUUUGAUCCUCACUCAUAAGAGUUUAACUUUUGGAAUAUCCUCUAAUCUUAAAUAAGUGAACGUGAGAAAGGGGAGGAAGAUAUGAAUAUGAAACAAAAGGUCAACAGACCUAGCUCUAUGAUUACCAUGCAUAUUUAUAGACUUCUUUCUCUCUGCCUUGGGUUGAUUGAGCAGGUGCUCAAAUCUUCAUUUUCAAAUUAAACGAGUUAGAAAAACCAAGUUACAUAAAUUGAAAUUUAGGUACUAAAUUUUAAAAGUUUGACAGGUAUAAGAAUUGGAGUAUAAUUAUACGUUAUAUUUAUUGAAGACUAUGCUGAAACUUCUGGGGAGGUGGUGCAAUCAACAACUCUAAUAAACUGUUUGGGUGUUGAAUAUGGAAUUAGUCUAUCCAAUUGUGUUACUUUAUGAAUGCCAGAGAACUUUUCCACGCCCUUGCCUUCAAGAGCACGCAGAGAAAUGAAGGCAGCCACGAUUAGUUUUACACUAAAUUGUACCCACAUAAGGUCAGAGUUGUGCACUCUCUCAUGUUCUAUUGAUCCCUUGUGGGUAAACUUGAUUUGGGGAAGAUUACUUUUCAAGAACGUAAUUGAAAGAAAUUAUAGGAUAAACGAGUUUUUUUAGUUUAUUAGCUUUUAACUCCACUUUACGAAUAAUCAACAAAAGAGAAAGGAAAGGGUCUACGCUGCAAUAAAGAUGAUUAAUAAGGAAAGAGUCUAUGCUGACCUAACUCAUAAACGUGAUUGGUGUUUCCCAUUUAAACCAACUUUGAAUCUUCAAAUAAUUUUUGCUAUAAAUAUGAAACCAAUAUUUUUAUUCAAGCAAUAGCCAAGGAAAAAACCAGAGGUCAUGGGUUUGGAUCGUACGUGUAAGGAGUUUGCUCUGCUUUCACUUAAGUUAACAAUUAUAGCAACCUGGGUAGCAGCGCAACCAAAACCGGAGUGCCAAAGCAACUGCGGGGAUAUCAGCAUCCCUUAUCCUUUUGGAACAGGCAAUGGGUGCAACAUCAGCAGCAACUUUUUCAUUCGUUGCGACACCACCUCCAACCCCCCAAAAACAUUCUUAAGUUCCACCGAUAUUGAAGUUCUCCACAUCUCUCUAGAUGGUUAUUUGCGCAUCCAACAAUUGGUAGGUUUUGACUGUUAUAAUUCAUUAGGACGCAGUUCAUAUGGCGAGUCAUUUUCACUUUUAAACUUCCCCAUAUCUAAUACCAGAAACAAGUUCACAGCCAUUGGUUGUGAUACCUAUGCUCUCAUUGAGGGUACCUUGGGACAUACGUAUUCAACCGGGUGUGUAACAUUCUGCAGUGACGUGGAGGAUGUGAUUAAUGGGUCUUGCUCUGGUAUUGGCUGUUGCCAGGCAGCUAUCCCUAAAGGAGUGAGGAAUUAUGUCUUAAAUUUUGAUACCCGUCGGAAUCAUUCCAAUGUAUUGGACUUCAAUCCUUGUAGUUAUGGAUUUGUUGUGGAAGAUGGAGCCUAUAAUUUCUCUGUUUCAGAUCUUUCCAAUGUUAAUUUCAACACAACGAAACUCCCAAUCAUACUUGAUUGGACAAUUGGGAACCAAAAUUGCACUGAAGCUAAAUUAGAUCCAAAAAACUAAGCUUGCAAGGAAAAUAGUGUUUGUAUAGAUCCAGAAAAUUAUAGUUGCAAGGAAAAUACUAGUUGUAUAAACCCUGGAUAUUUGUGCAAGUGUCUUGAUGGCUUUCAGGGUAACCCUUACCUCUCCUAUGGCUGCCAAGGUAAAGAUAUCAACUUCUUUUUCAUUCCAGAUUCAUUUUGAUGAAUACUUUUAAUUUUGUUCCCAAUAUAUGUUUUUUUUUUCUGCUUUAAAAUGUUUGAAAAUUUGUAGAUAUUGAUGAAUGCGGGACACUGAAGCCUUGCAAUGAAACUGCAACAUGUUAUGAUGUAGCUGGAAGUUAUUAUUGUUCGUGUCCUGAGGGAUUUGAGGGUGAUGGCCAGAAAAAUGGAACAGGGUGCAGUCCUAAAGUCAAAUCACACCAGAGUUUUCCCACUCUUCUUGUUGCAUUAGGUUGGUACAUAUAAACCAAAAAUUGAUUUCCUUUUAUUUGGUAAAUAUUUUGUGCAAACGUAUUAAUACUGAGAUGAAAUUAAUCCAAAUUUAAACCGAUUUAAUUGGUCUAAAUAGUUUUCAUAUUCUGAUUCUGAUUGAUACAUCAUUGUUAAUGUUGGAUGUAAUUAAUCCUUUAAUUUGUUUUGGAUUAAAAUCCAUCCAAGUUUGUUAUUUCUACAACGUCAUUAUUAAUUUCUCAUUGAAAAGAACUAUAUGAAAAUUAAUAUUGUGAUGUAUGUUUACAAAACAUAUCAGAUCGAGGUUUACAAAGUUUAGGCACACAUUAAUGAGAUAUAGAUAAACAACAUAACAAAAGAUAUUAAAGCUUAUCAGUUUUAAUCCAUACAAAGUUCAAUUGAAACUAUAAAAAUGGAGCUUAUUUGAUUUUUUUUUUAAAUUACAAUUUCUAGUCUCAUAUUGUUACAGGUAUAGGCAUUUUAUUUUCGCUGUUAUGCUCCUCAUGGGUGUCUUUGGGGCUGAGGCAGAGAAAGCUCAACAAACUGAAACAAGAUUACUUUCAGCAAAAUGGUGGGAUUUUGUUCCGGGAACACCUUUCACGAUAUAAAGAAUACGGCGAGACAGCUAAACUCUUUACAAUCGAAGAACUCAAAAAAAGCGACAAACAAUUACCAUGAAAGUAAAAUCCUUGGACGAGGAGGUCAAGGUACUGUUUACAAAGGAUUGUUGCCUGAUGGCUGCAGUGUUGCCAUUAAAAAGUCCAUCAUUGGAGAUCAAAUCCAAGUUCAACAAUUCGUUAAUGAAGUUAUUGUGUUAUCCCAAAUCAACCACAGAAAUGUGGUGAAAUUGUUGGGAUGUUGUUUGGAGACACAAGUCCCUUUGCUAGUCUAUGAAUAUGUAAGCAAUGGUAGCGUCUUCGAUCACUUACACAAUGCCGAUCAUGAGUCUUUCAUAUCAUGGGAAGCUCGUUUGAAAAUAGCCACAGAAGCAGCAGAAGCCCUUUCCUAUUUGCACUCUGCUGCAUCUCCGCCUAUUAUUCAUCGUGAUGUCAAGUUGGCCAACAUACUUUUAGAUGAGAAUUACAAUGCUAAAGUAUCUGAUUUUGGUGCUUCCAGAUUGGUCCCUUCAAAUAAAGAACAAAUAACAACACUCGUGCGGGGAACUCUGGGCUAUUUGGACCCAGAAUAUUUUCAAACAAGUCAAUUGACUGAAAAGAGUGAUGUUUAUAGUUUUGGAGUUGUUCUCAUAGAAUUACUAACAGGUCUGAAAGCAAUUUCUUUCGAAAGACCUGAACAUGAGAGGAAUUUGACUCUGUACUUUAUUGCUGUUAUGAAAGAGGAACGCUUGCUAGGAGAUGUGUGAGAGUGAAGGGAGAGGAAAGGCAAACUAUGAAGAAGUUGCGUCUGAAUUAGAAGUAUGGAGAAAGCUCAAGGAGGAAGAGGCUGAAUACUUGCUUGAUGACUUUUAUGACUCGUAUAACACUAACACUAUUCUAUAUGAUAGAUAGAUACUACGGUGAAUAUAGCUAAGAGGUUACUCUACUAUAAGUUCUUGAUUAAAUGAAUUAAUUUAGUACUAUAUUAUAAAAAAAAAAAUCAAAUAAGCUCAAAUUGGAAUAAAGUCAACAUUUAUCAUUUAAAAAUAUCAUUUACUAUUUAAUAAAGUUAAUAUUUUUAAAGUUUUUAUAGUUACGUAAAUGAAGUCUAUUGUUUGAAAUUGAGCUACAAUUGAAAAAAUAAUUUUCAAAACAUUUUUUAUACCUUAACACCAUGUGGUAAAUUAUUUUUUUGUUUGAUUGAACGUAAUACUCAUUUAAUGAGACAAUUAUUUUUCUAUUACUUGUCUUCCCGUAAUAGCUAUUCUUUGGUCUCACAAAAGAAUAACUAUUCCAUGCAAUAUUAAAUAACAAAAAAAUUUAAUUUCCAGAUUAAUCUUUUAAAACUUAGACAUAUACAAAUAAAAUAUUUAAAAUAUUUUAAUAUAAUUUAAUAUAAAAUAUUUUAAUAUAAAAAUAAUUAUAUUAAAAAUACUAUUAAAUUAUAUAUUAUUAUUAAAUUAUAUUAAAAUAUGAUUAAAUUAUUUAUUUUUUAUUAACUUAUUUUUAAUAAUAAUCCUAUUAAAAUUUAAUAACAAUAAUAAUAACAGUAAUCAUCUACCUAACAAAAUUUUGCUAAGGGUACUCUAGUCAUUUCAAUUUUUUUUACUUAUACUAUUACAAAAUCGUUCCAUUCAACCAAACACAAGAAUAUUAUUACAGUUCUAUUUCAUUUCAUUCAACCAAAUAGUUGAAUUACUGAUUACAGCUCUAUUCCAUUACAACUAUAUUUCAUUACAACGAACCAAAUGUAGUGUAGAUGUUAACUCUAUUACAACUUGAAUUUACAUUUAAAUGACACAACUAUUCAAAAAUUAUUCUAAAAAAAAAAUUUGUGUAAUUUCAAUGAAGUACAUAGGUAUUUUUCAGUACUCUAUAUAUAGACAUUAAAGUCAAAAUUGAGUUCUGAGUUAAUUUUUCUUUUUUGUGUGAAUAUGUCUAUGUAUUCAUUUUAAUUUGUUAAAAUAAUUUGAGUGCAAACAUAUUAUUUUGCUAUGAGAAAAAAGUAUUGUGUACUGAAAUUAACAUUUAUUAAUUGUUUUUUACAAUAGAAGAGAAAUAAUCUAUUCUUUAAAACUUUGAGGCUAAAUUUUAAAUAUACAAAAAGUAUAAGAACUUAUAGCAUAUUUUAACCUUUUUAAAUUUAUACAAAAUCCUUUAAGGGUUUUUUUUUGGUUAAUUUACAAAUAAUUUUGGUUUUUUUAAAAUGAAACAAAUGACUAAAUGCAUAUAAUUAUAAUAAAAUGCAAAUACUUAUUUAAAUUUAUUUUUAAUUUUAUGGAUUAAUUAUAAAAUUUAUGUGAUGGCCCACACUUCAUGAGCAUCAGAAAAAUGCAACAUCGGGGUACCGUCUUAGUAAAUCGAGUUCAAAAAUAAUUAUUAGAAAUAUUUAUGAGUCUAGUGAUGUGUUUAAUUAGGUUUAAAUUAGGUGAAUUUAGCUUAAUUUAGAGUAAUUAGUGAAAAGAACUAAAUUGAAUAAGGUGUAAAGUUUAAUUAUAAAGUAAAAGAAAAUAAGAGGGACUAAAUAGGUAAAUAAGCCAAUGGUUUAAGAUGAGGCGGCAAUGCAUGGAAAAAUCUUAGAUUUUUUUUUAUUUAUAUUAUAAAAAUAUUAUUUAAUUAAAAUAUUAUAAAUUAUAUUAAUUAAAGUUAAGAUAUUAUAUUAUAGGAAAUAAAUAAAAUAAAGACAAUUGUAUGAUAAAUAAAUUAAAAAUUUGCCAAAUGGAUGGUGAUGAUAUUGUACAUAUGUACAAAAAUAUAUGUGUACAAUUGUGGUAUUUAUACUUGUUAUUAAAUAGAUAUUUAUUAGAGUGUAUUAUUAUUAUUAAUUUAUUAAUUUAUAAUUUAUAUUAAUUAUAUUAUGAGAUUUUUAUAGGAUAAAUAAAGUAAAUCAUGAUAAAUGUACGGUGAUGAUGAAAUAUUAUAUGAUGAAAUAAAAUGAAGACAAGUGGAUGGAGAUGAUUUAUUACAAGUGUAUAAAUAAAAUAUAUACAUUUGUAAUAUUUAUAUUUAAAUUAGAAAAUAGAUAUUUAUUAAUUAUUAUUAUUAAGUUAAAAAUAUUUAUUAAUUAAAUAAUUAAAUUAUAAGAUUUUUAUUUGAUAAACAAAUUAAAUAAUGACAAUUGUAAUAAAAUUAUUAGUAUAAAUAUAAAAUAAAUAUAUAAUUACUUAUAAUUUAAACUAAAAGAUAUUUGUUAUUAAAUAAUUAUUACAUAUUAUAUUAUUAUAACAUAAAAGUAAAUAAACUAAAAAGAAAUAAAAUCAAAACCUAAACAAAGAAGAACGAAACAGAGGCAUUUGAAACAGAGCAGGAAAUAGAAAGAAAAAAAAAGAAAAAGGAAAAACUAAGGGUUUAAGGUUUAAAACUUUGAUAGCUAAUAAAAAAUUCAAAGUAUCGAGAUAAAAAGAGAAGGAGAAGGUCGUCGAGGAGUAACUGCGAAGUUCGAGUUUGUAUUACUGUAAUUCAAAUUAUUUAUUUAUUCAUUAAAUGUUAAAUUAAUUUAUGUAUAUGGUUAGUAAAUUAUAAGGUAUGUGUUAUUGUUGAAUUGAAUGAAAAUUGAGCUGAAUGAUUAAUAUAUAUUGAAAUUGAAUUGUAUGUGGAUUGAAAUGGAAAAGUAUAUUGAAUUGAGUUGUAAUUAAAUUGAGAAUGAAAUUGAAAUUGAAAAGUAAUAUGGAAUACCCUAUUAACUAGUCGGGCUGAAGCGGAUAUAAUUGGCAUGCCACAGGAUUUGGAAGAGUACGGGAUUUAUCGGCUUUGCCAAUUAGGCACUUUAUGUGUCGUAUUUCAGGCACCUCGUGUGUCGUUUCAGGCACUUAUGUGUCGUAUACUGAUCAGGUACUAUGUACUGUUUUAGGCAUAAUGUGCCGUACUGGUGUGUUUGGGUUGGAAUCCGUAUAUCCGUUAAAGUCCAGGUUUGUUAAUAGGGUGAACAACUGAAAUAAGAAGUUUAAAAUAAAUUGAUUGAUUAUAUUAUUGAAAAUAUUGAAAGAAAUGAGAAAGUUGAAUUAUGGAUUGAAAUUGAGUUUGAAAAUGCAAGGCAUGAACUUAAUGUUCAUGUAGUGAUUGAAAUUGUUACAUGUGAUAUGUUAUGGAAAUUGAAGAAUAGCUAAAAAUUGUAUUGUUAUUGUUAAUUAAUGAAAGUUUAAGAAUGAAUUGAUAUUUGAGAAAUUGGAUAGUUACAUGCUUCGUAAUUAUAAUUCUUAUUGCUAUUAUAAUUUGAAUUAUGGUAAUACCAUUGAGUAAGGAAUACUUAGCGUACGGUUGUUUUCAUGCGUAGGUUGAUAGGAGUCCAGUGUCCUGGUCUAGCAUCCGAACGAUCCCGACUCCAGCAUUAAGAUUUUGGUGAUGUUUUCUUCCUUUAAGUGAAAGUGGCAUGUACUUAGGGAUUAUAAUGGUUUUUUUGGUAUGUUAUAUAAAUUUUGUUGUAAAGAAAGGUAUUUGGUGUUUUGAUAAUUAAAUUAGUGAAAUGGUAAAAAUUGUUUAUGGCAUUGGUAUUGAAUUGAAAUGGUUUGAAUACUUUUAUAAGCUAAUUAGAAAUGAUAAUAGGGUUUUCAUUAAUUAAGUUGUUAAAGUCAACAUGUCAAGUAUGAUUUAAGUAUAUUUGAGUAUAUAAAUGCGUUGGUUGAAAUACUAGAAUUGGUUUCGUUGCAAUUUGAAAUUUGCAGGGAAUGUUAAAUAUUUAAAAAGGAGUUAUUUUGAAUUUAAAAAAAUAAAAAAAAGAGUCAAUUAGCAAAAGUUUUAUAUGAAUUUAUGAUUGUAUUAUAAUAUGUUCGAUAAUUAAUUGAAUAUUAAUCGUAAAUUGUCUGAUAAUACCUCGUAACCCUGUUCCGGCGACGAUUUAGGGUUAGAGGGGUAUUACAAUUUUUUCUAAUUACUUUUUUUAUUUUUAAAUUUAUUUAAAAUAAUUAAUUUCAAAAUUUUUCAUAAUGUGAUAAAAAUAUUAAUUUUAUUUAAAAAAACUAUAUAAUGAGAAAAAUAAUAUAAUGUAUCAUUUUAUUUUCUUUUUACCACUUUUUAAAUAUCAUCUUUACCUGUCACAUGAGUAUUAAAUUGGUUGGUAUUAGUAUUGUUGUCAAUGUAGGAAGACAUGAGCUCAAGUAUACUAAGAUGCAUUUUUCUUUCUAUUUAAAGGUUAAAAAAUAUUAUGAAUAAUUCUAAAUAUUAUAUCAAUAUAUAUAACCUUUCACUAAAGGAAUGAUAAUGCAUAAUUUAAAUUUUAGAUAUAUCCUUGGGUUUUGAGUAUUUGAAUCUUUGAAUUUAAAAUAAUUGAAUGAUUAUAUAUAUACUAGAAACUCUGUCACACGCGCAUACGCGUGUGAAAAUUAUGUAUUUAGAAUACAAAUUUGUAUUUAAAAAUAACAUACAAUAAAUAAUUAAAAAUAUGGUUUAAAACUAAUUAAUAAUAACACAUGAAAUAUGUUCAAUGUUAAAAUUAAAAAAAAAAGAUUAAAUUGUAAGUAAAACGAAUUUAAACAUAUAAAUACACAAUAAUGUUGUCGUGGUGUUGUUAUCAAUCCUAAGUUGGUUUCAAGUUAAUUUGUGACACAAUCUUAACAAAAAAUUAAGAUUAAAAUACAUGAAAUAGAUCAAAAUAAAGCUUUGAUUGAGUCAUCAAUUUAAGGUUUUACCAAUUCAAUUGGUACUAUACAUAUUUUUAUUUUUAUUGAUUUUUGUUAAAAUAAAAAGACUAAAGUAUACUCGGAUAAUAUAACUUAAUUUAAAUACGAAAAAAUAUUUUGAUAAUUUCCCUCAACGAGUUGGUAUCCUAUUGACUCAUAACAUCCACUCAGUCAGGAGCUUAAAUAAUAUUAUACAUGUAACUUAUAAAGAUAAUGAAUUAUAUAUAUUAAAAUAAAAUUGUAUAAAACAUAAUAAAAUGAGACUUUUUUUAAUAGUAAAUUUAAUUUUUUUCGGCAUUGGGGUGGCAAUAUACAUAUUUAUAUUUUUAUUAGUUUUUUUUAUAGAUAAUUGUGUUAGGAAGUUUACUUUCUGACAUUGGAAAACUACAACAAAUUCAUUUGGUCUAUUGUUGAAAGUGGUUGCCUCAGAAAAUAAAUAAAAAGGUAGAUGUGUUAUGUAUGUUCUCUCAUAGAGGAUGCCUUUCAUUCUUUUAACAAUGGCGGCAACUGCUUUCACAUCAUUUCAUGUUUGGUUGUUUUCUUGCCUGGCAUUGAUUUCCAUGGCAAAGGCUGAAGAAUUCAUUUACAAUAGAGGCUUCCUUCAUGCUAAUCUGCAGCUUGAUGGGAGUGCCAACAUCCACUCCAAUUGUCUAUUGCAGCUCACCAACACAUCAAAACUGCUAAUCGGCCAUGCUUUCUAUCAAUCUCCAAUAAAUUUCAACACUUGUUCAAGUUCAGCUCAAUCUCUUUCCUUCUCAACGAAUUUCGUCAUCACCAUCGUUCCUGGAUUGAAAGACUCGAGUGGCCAUGGCAUUGCCUUUGUCAUCUCACACUCUACAGAUUUCAGCCAUGCUGCUACAAUCCAAUAUCUAGGACUUGUUAAUGAAUCAACCAAUGGCCAUUCUUCAAAUAUGUUUUUUUGCUGUUGAGUUUGAUACUAUCUUGAGUCUUGACAUAGAAGAUGUAGAUAACAAUCAUGUAUGAAUCGGUCUGAGCGUCGUGAAAUUGAACCAAUCCGUUGCAUCAGCUUAUUUUUCUAAUGAAGAAAGGAAGAAUAUAAGCUUGGAGGUCAACAAUGGACAUUGAACACAGGUUUGGAUAGACUACAGUGAUGAAGAACAACUACUCACUGUAACCUUGGCACCAGAGGGAAGGCCGAAACCCAACCAGCCUCUAUUGUCCACAUAUAUCAAUCUCUCUGGUAUUCUAAUGGAUACCAUGUAUGUUGGUUUCUCUACUUCAACAGGUUCAAUUAGAAGUAAUAGCCAUUAUAUUCUGGGAUAGAGCUUCAAUACAAGUGGAGAAGCGCAAAGCCUUGUGUUAUCUAAGCUUUCAAAGGUUCUCAAAAAUGGUGGACAGGGAAAUAAUAUGGUUCAAUUGAUUUUGGAGUAAGUCUUGUUUGUUGUAAGUUAAUUGUCAAGGUUCAUGCAUUGUUGUAAUGUAAACUCAAUAAAAAGAGUUCUACAAUACAUAAGAGGAACUCUAGAUCAUGGCGUGAAGUUUAUGAGGACUGAAAAGAUCAAGUUACUUGGGCGUUUAGAUAGUGAUUAGUCUGGAUCUUCUUAAAAAAUGAAGAUUACUUCAGGCUAUAUCUUCACUUUAGGAUCGAGUGUGUUCUGUUGGAGCUCAAAGAAGCAAGAAAUAGUAGCACAAUCAACUGUUGAAGCAGAGUAUGUCGCAGCUGCAGUAGCUGUAAAUCAAGCCAUUUAGUUGAGAAAACUGCUGAGUGAUUUAAAUUUGAAGUAAGAAGAAGCAACAAAGAUCAAGUGUAAUAACCAAUCAGUUGUUGUAAUUGUAAAAAUCCAGUGUUCCAUGGUAGAACAAAACAUUUCAAAAUCAAAUAUCACUUUAUGAGAGAAAUGGAGCAAGCCAAGCAAGUUAUAUUAGUUCACUGCAGUUCACAAGACCAAUUAGCUGAUAUUCUAACAAAACCUCUUGAGAAGAUGAGGUUUGAAAAACUAUUUUAUGAUAUUAGAGUUCGAAGCAUAGAGGUCAAUGAGGAGUGUUUCGAAAGAACCAUCUAUGCUAACUACGAACUGCGAGCUCACCGAGAUUGCGAGCUCACCUGUGAACUACAAACUGUAAACUUACCAGAACUGCAAGCUUACCAAGCAUGAGAGCUCACCUGCGAGCUCUUGACUCUGUGAGUCACCAACUUAAACUGAAACUAUGAUAAGUUUUGAUUAAACAUUUUGACAGACGAUUAGAUAGAAAAUAACAAAUAAAAAAUAAAGUUAUAUGAAUCUAGUCACUGAAUUAAACUAAGUUCUAAUAUUUUAUUAUUUUUUAAACAUAUUUAAGCAUAAUUUUUCAUGUAAAUUAUGCAACAAUUUUUUAAUGAAACAGUUCACCAAAAAAUUAACUUCUCCAUUUUUUAUCUUUUGCUUUUGUUUCAACCUCACCUUCUUCAAAAAUCCAACAAUAAGAAUUUAGUGCAGCUUCAUGGGUACUGCAAAUGUCGCUAAAGAACAAAAAACAGAAUUGAUAAGCAAAGGAAAUGGUAGAGCAUAUGAAUGAAACGAAAUAAAUUUUUUUAUUAAUUUUUAAAACAAUGGCAUGAUGCCUUGUACAUAUACCAGAAUUUAACUAAAACUCACCUAAUAGCUACCUAACUCCAUUUAAUACAUUGGAACUAGGUGAAUUAUGCUUGCACACUUAAACAAAGCUAGUGAUCAGUUCUUUCACUAUCAAAUUACAUCAAAUACAAGCUAAACUAAGUUUAAAAUGAACUAGAUAGCAUUACAUUAACUAAAAUUACAAAAUGAACAAAACAAAACAGCUGCAACACUUGGCUUGACAGCUUUUUGCUUAGCAUGAGCUACUCGAUCUGCUUUCUGGUGCAUGUGCUGCAUGGAAGGCCAUUCUCCAACACUCCUCAUUGGUCUCUAUGCUGCUAACUCCUAACUACUUCCUCAAUUUGAUGAAUCUUGACACAUUAAGGGCCUUUGUGAAAAUGUCAGCAAUUUGUUCUUCAAAAUUGCAAUGAAUCAGCUCCAUCUCUCGAGCUUGCUCCAUUUCCUUUACUACAUGUUGCUUGAUGCUAAAGUGUUUAGCUCUACCAUGGAAACAGAGUUCUUUGCAAUUGCAACAGCAGAUUUGUUGUCACAAAAGAUCUUUGUUGCUUCCCUUUGAUGCAGGUUCAAGUCAGUUAAGAUUUUUUUAAGCCAUAUGGCUUGAUUAACAGCACUUGUAGUUGCAACAUACUCAGUUUUUGCUGUUGAUUGAACCACCAUCGAUUGCUUUUUUGAACUCCAACAAAACAUUGCUGAUCCAAGUGUAAAUGCAUAACCAAAAGUGCUCUUUAUAUCAUCCUUUGAACUAGCCCAAUCACUAUCAGUAUAGCCUACCAAUUUCAAGUUUUUAGUUUUGUUAAACUACAAUCCAUGGCUCAAGGUGCCUUUGAUGUACCUGAGCACUCUUUUUGCUGCUUGAAGGUGUUGAAUAUUGCAGCAGUGCAUGAAUCUUGAAAGCACACUAACAGCAAACAUAAUGUUCAGUCUUAUUGUAGUUAGAUAUAACAAGCAAUCUACUAAGCUUCUGUGGGUAGAUUCUCUGACUUGUUCAUAGUCUCAUUAGCUUGACAGUUUUAUUCCAAUAGCCACAGGUGUGCUAGUUGGCUUACAAUUCUCUAUAGAGAACUUGUUCAAGAUCUUUACAGCAAAUGUUUUCUAUCCCAAGAAAAUUUCACUUCAUGUUUGCAACACCUCCAUUCCUAGGAAUUAAGUCAUCUACCCCAAAUCAGACAUCUCAAACAUGUCCUUCACUUUGGCUUUAAAAUUAGCCAACAUAAUCUGGUCUCCUCCUAUCACUAAGAGAUCAUCUACCUAAAGGGACACAAUGAGCUGUUUUAGCUUAUUCCUUCUUGACAUAUAGUAUUGGCUCACUGAUACUUCUCUUGAAUCCCAAGCUAACAGGUAGCUAUCAGUUUUAGCAUACCAGGCUCUAGGAGCCUAUUUCAGGCCAUACAAAGCCUUUUUAAGCCUGUAUACCAUAUGUUCUUUUACAGACACAACAAAACUUUGAGGCUAGUCAAUAUAGAUUUCUUCUUCAAUGAAGCCAUUGAGAAAUGCAGACUUUACAUCUAGUUGAUGAAUGAUCCACUGCUUUUGUGUAGCCAAAGCAACUAACAAUCUGAUUGUAUCUAGCCUGGCUAUUGGUGCAAAAUUCUCCAUGUAGUCCAGGCCAUAUCUUUGAUUGAACCCCUUGACAACAAGUCUAGCUUUCAACUUGUUUAAACUACCAUCAGUAUUUUGUUUAGCUCGAUAGACCCAUUUUACACCAAUGGUCUUUCUGUUAACAGGCUUUUCAACCAGCUCCCAUGUCUGAUUCUUCUAAAUCAUCUUGAUCUCAUCAACCAUGGCUUGCUUCCACCCUUUAUGAGCUUCAGCUUAUUCAAAACUACUUGGUUCAACCUCAGCAACAUGAGCCCUUUCAUAAAUUUUAACUAAGGGUCUGGUGCCUCUGGCUGGCACAUCAUCGAUGUUCCUUUCAGGACCAAUUUGAUUAGGUGCAACCUGAUCAGCCAUCAGCUCUUCAAAAAUAGCCUCUGACUUAUUUCUUUCCCAGUUCUAGCAUGCUUUUUCAUCAAAGACAACAUAUUUGCUCAAUUGGAUUUUGUUUGUUAAAGGAUCUAAGAUCCUAUACCUUUUCUUGACCAUACUGUAGCCCACAAAAAUGCUAGGCAGAGCUUUCUUGGAUAGUUUGUCACUCUUCAUAGUUGGUAUAUGGCUGUAACAUAUGUAACCAAAGACCUUCAAAUGAGCCAAUGAUGGCUUAAACCCGAAACAGGCCUCAAAUGGUGUUUUGUGAGCCAGUGCCUUUGUUGGAAGCCUAUUCUGAAUGUACACAGCAAUGUUAACUACUUCAGCCCACAUGUUCUUGGGCAAAUUCUUCUCAAAUAGAAUACAUCUGGCCAUUCCAUCAAACUCCUGUUUGUUCUUUCACUAACCCCAUUCUGCUGAGGGGUAUAGACAUUCGUCAGCUCAUGUUUGAUGCCUGCAUCAUUGCAAAGAGCUUAAAACUGAGUUGAGGUAUACUCAGCUCCAUUGUCUGACCUGAUGGUCUUGAGUUUGCAUCCUGUUUUUGUUUCAACUACAGCUUUAAACUUCAAAAACACUUGAGCUACCUUAGACUUAUAUUUCAGGAAGAAAAUCCAGUAAUAUCUGGUACAGUCAUCAAUGAAAAGAAUGAAGUACCUAUUACCAUUGAGCGAUUCAGUCUUCAUAGGGCCACACGCAUCAGUGUGCACAAGCUGUAACUUGUCUGAUGCUCUCAAAGUUGAUUUUGCAGGAAAUGGCUGUCUAGCUCGUUUUCCUAUUUGACAAACCUCACAAACAUCCUCCUUUUCAACUGUAUUGGUGAAAUUUUCAACCAAUUCUUCACUGACCAUUUGAGCCAUCGAUCUGAAGUUGGCAUGACCACGUCUUUGGUGCCAAAGCUUGAAAUCUUCAGUAGAAGUAAUGCAGGCUGAGUGUGAAUGACUUGGCUUGUUGACUUCAAAGCAUUUAUCAGUCAAAGUGACUGACAUGAAGCUUGAUCCAUUUGGAUAAGUAAUUUGGCACUCCUUGCCCUUGAACACAACUGAAUAGCCUUUUUCAAGCAAUUGAGCAAUGCUAAGAAGGUUCCUGUCAAUCUCAGGCACCAAAAGCACAUUUGAGAUGACCUUGCCACCUGUGGGAGUGCAUAUCAACACAUCCCAUUUUCCUUCAGCAUUGAUAAACUGCCCAUUACCAACUUUCACUUUGGCUUUGCGGCUUCUGUCCAAGGUUUUGAAAAUGGUUGCAUCUGGUGACAUGUGGUUAGUGCAACCACUGUCCAAUAGCCAUCCUUUUGAGCCCUUCUUCUGACCAACUGAGCAUGACACAGUAAAGACCUGCUCCUCAUGGUCACUACUAUCUUUAGCCACUUGAGCUUCAAUAUUUUUCUGUUGUGCUUGAUUCUGCCUAGGCCUGCCUUUGUUUUUGCAAACCCUUUCAACAUGCCCCAUCUUCUUGCAAUGUUGGCACUGUGCAUCUAGUCUAAACCAGCAUCUUUUUUUUUUGGAUGACCAGGCCUUUUACUAUGCCUGCAAGGUUGGUCCCUUUUUUCAGCAUCAUACUUAGGCCUGUUUUUCCAAUUUUUUUUGCCUUCGUAGGCAGUGGUGCUUGAAGCAGGUUUGGCCUUGGCUUGAAAAGCACCUUCUUGAUGCUCCUCCAUCCUGUUAGCUCUCCUUUGCUCCUGAGCAUAGAGGGCAUUAAUAAGCUCAGCUAAAAAGAUGCUUGGUAAGUCUCUCGAAUCCUCUAAGAAUGAGAUUUUUGCCUCAUAUCUUUCAGGCAAUGUUGAGAGCACUUUCUCCGCGAUCCUUGCUUCACUGAACUGUUCUCCUAGCAACCUUAUGCUGUUCACCACAGCCAUAAUCCUAUCUAAAUACUGCUUCACUGUUUCUUCUUCCUUCAUUUUCAAAUUUUCAUAAUCUCUUCUCAAAGUCAAUAGCUGCUGUUGCCUUGUCCUCUCUGUGCCUUGGAACUCCUCUUUGAGCUUGUCUCAGGCUUGUUUUGGUGUCUCAAAAUGUAACAACCCCUACCCGUAUCUGUCGCUGGAAUAGAGUACGAGGCAUUACCGAGAAGCACGAAACACUUAUAGAUAAUUUAAAUACAUUUUCAUAACAACUUGUCUCGAUUUCAUACUAUUUCGUAUUUAAGCUUUAUUCACUAAAGUCUUUGAAAUAUCAUCUUUAUGCAAAUAACACACAUGAGGUACAUAAUUCCGUAGUUAUAAAUGAACACAUUUAUCAAACAUAUUCCAUGUUUUUAUAUAUAUAUCAUAGUCUCAAAUUUACAUGUAUCAAUUACCAUCACUUCCUCAUAUUUCAGACAAAUACGUGUAACAAUUCAUAAAUAUGCAAUUCACUAACUCUUCCUGCCAAUCACGAUUUAAAUUGCCAAAUCACUUAUUGAGCCCAAUUUCAAUGUACACUAAAAUCUAUCAUAUAAAUUUAGAUGUACGUAUUCAUCAAUAAAUUCCAUGUACAGAUAUCAUCAUCUCUUAUUUCCACAUACAUUUACUUUCCACAUUCAUGAAUUCAAAUAGCAUAUACAAGACAUACCAAUGUAUUUCAAGUACGUUUUCAUGAUAUUUCAUUUCGAACUCAGAUUAUUUCAUACUAGAAGUUUUCUUAUUAACUCAUUUGGAAUACCAAUUCAUACGGAUAAUACACUCAAGGCGUAGAAAUAUAUAAUCACAAAUGAACUCAUUCAUCAAUCGGGUUUUAUGCUCAUGUCUCAUCAACUCGUAUUUUCUUAUGUCACAUAAUUCCAUGUAAUACUUACCAAACUUUUUCAAAUUAGUGAACAUCUUACGGAAUUGGUCUGCAUCGGUAUGCACUGAAUUUCACUGACAAUCACUGAUGCCAUAGCAUAGCUAUGGUCUUUUCACUAGAAUGCCAUAGCUCAGCUAUGGUCUUACAUUUUAUAUACAUAUCACACCGAUGUCUUAUCCCAGAUAUGGUCUUACACAGAAAUCACUUGUCACUUGUAGCCGAAGCUAUCACUACUCACUGAUCAGGUAGCCGGAGCUACCAUUUUUCACUAAUCAAGUAGCCGAUGAUCAGGUAGCCGAAGCUACCACUUUUCAUUGAUCAGGUAGCCGAAGCUACCACUUUUUACUUGCCAUUUGUCCUUGAUCAGAUAAGUGUAGCUGAAGCUAUCACUUAUCACUUUCACUUAUCCUUGAUCAAAUAAGUGUAGCCGAAGCUAUCACUUAUCACUUUCAUUUGUCCUUGAUCAGAUAAGUGUAGCCGAAGCUAUCACUUAUCACUUUCACUUGUCAUUGAUCAGAUAAGUGUAGCCGAAGCUAUCACUUAUCACUUGUUGCCAUGGUCCAACCAUGGUCUUUUCCUUCAAUUUAUCUUGUCACUGAAUUGUAAUGCUCAAUUUGAUCAGUUAUUCAAUUUUCAUGUUUUUACAUUAUUCGCGAUUUUAUCAUCAAUACAUAUAAAAUAACACAUCAUGAAAUUCAUAAAAUUAACAAAUGGUCACUAAAAUUUAGUUAUACAAACUCACAAGUACGAUUUUUGUAUUAUAACGAUAUUCAUAAUUUCAUAAUAAAUAUUCCAAAUAAAACAUUAUAUCAUUUCUAAUUCAACAUUUAUCGAUUAUAAUCGGGCAUGUGAUCAAGUCAUUCAUAUAUAUAUUUACUUUUCCUCCUACUCCUCUCCAUCCACAUCCUUAGUAUAAAUAACACACUUGUAAGUAACAUCAUCUAUAAUUUUCACUAUUUACUUAUGUGAAUAUUCAAGCUGUCCAUCCGUGUCAUAGUCACUAAAUCAUUUUUAUCUUGAGCUACAGAACUCGAAAUUAAGAUCCAUAAAUUUUUCCAGAAACUAGACUCAUAUGUUUUCUUGCCAUAAAAAUUUCAUAAUUUUUGGUUGGGCCAAUUAAUACAGUUUAUUCAUUGAAGUCUCCCCUGUUCUGCUGUCUGACAGUUCAGACCCUUCUUCACUAAAAAUUAAUUAUCUUCUUGUACAGAAUUCAAAUGAUGUCCUCGUUUAUUUAUCUUGAAAAUAGACUCAUUCAGGAUUAUAAACAUAUAAAUUUAAGCCCCUAAUUGUUUUUAUCCAAUUUUUGAUGAUUUUUCAAAUUCAGAAUAGGGGAACCCAAAAUCAUCCUGACCUUGUCUCACAAAAUUUAUCAUAUCUCAUGAUUUACAAUUCCAUUGCAUACAUAAUUUCUUCUAUAAGAAACUAGACUCAAUAAGCUUUAAUUUCAUAUUUUAUUCAUCCUCUAAUUAUAUUUCUAAAAUUUUUGGUGAUUUUUAAGAGUUAGACUACUGCUACUGUCCAAAGCAGUUUUAGUGCAAAGUGUUGAUUUCCAUUUUUCCCCAAAUUUCACAAUUCAUACAAUUCAAUCCUUACUAAUUAACCCCUCAAUUAAGAUAAUUUUCUCAAUUAAUACUUUUCCUAGUCAUUAGAAGUUAUUUCAUAACUAUUGAAAUUCAGAAUUUCCACAUGAAACUUUAACUUCAAACUCUUUUACAAUUAGGUCCUAAACAUUCACUUUCUAUUCAAUUCUUUCAAUAAAAUCAGCAUAUAAACAAUUUAAAGCUCUAAUUCCAUGACAAAUCAUCAUAUAGUUCCAGCACAUAUUCAUAGCAACUUUCAAUUUCUUUCAUAGAAUUAAAAACUAAUGAAUUCAACAAGUGGACCUAGUUGUAAAAGUCACAAAACACAAAAAUUUCAAGAAAUAAUCAAGAAUUGAACUUACUUGAAGUAAAAAUAUGAAAAACCAGCUUGAAGGAACUCUUCCAUGGUGUUUUUGCUGAUGAGAAUGCAGAAAAAUAAAGAGAAAUCUAGAUAAUUCCACUUUAGUCCUAGCUUUAUUAAGUAAAUUUUGCAAUUUUCCAAUUUUUCCCUUAAUUCUCCUUAUUUUCUUGCUGAUUUCAUGCCUUGCCGUCCAGCCCAAAGAUACCUUGGGUCUAUUUUCCUUUUAAACCCUCUUUCUUUUAUCAUUUAAGCUAUUUAAUCAUUUCUCACAAUUUUGCAUUUGAUACAAUUUAGUCCUUUUUGUUCAAUUAACUAUCAGAACUUUAAAAUUUCUUGACGAAACUUUAAUACUAACUUAUUAACGCUCCAUAAAUAUUUAUAAAAAUAUUUAUGGCUCGAUUUAAAAUUCCCGAGGUCUUAAUACCUCGUUUUUCGAUUCUAAUUAUUUUAAUAUUUAUUUUUAGUACGCUAUUCACUAUUUUAAAAUUUUUUUUCCUAACUUCACAUUUAACUUAUACUCACUAAAUUAAUAAUAUUUCCUACUCAUUUGUCGGAUUUAGUGAUCUCAAAUUACUGUUCUGACACCACUGAAAAUUAGGCUGUUACACAAAAGCUAUAAUUCUUAUAAAUAUGACAUCUGACACACAGUUCUAAAUGCAGGACAUGGCUUUGUGCCUCUUGGUCCUCUCAUCAGUAUGUUGUCUGAUCUGAGCCAUUGUGGGAUUGGCCCUAAGUGGUGCUGGCUUAGCAUCGGUGUUUACAACUUCCCACAGAUCAAAGGCCUGCAGGUAAGUCCUCAAAUUAACCACCCAUAUAUGAAAGCCUUCUCUAUUGAAGACUGGUGGAGCUGCUGGAGAAAAACCUGAAGAAGCCAUUCAAGUUAUGAUUCAAAUGCAACAGGUCCACUAAGACAAUGACUCUAGAUACCAAUUGUUGGUGUUAUGAACAAGGAAGAAGCUGGUUCAGCUUAGGCUUGUUUAGCAAGUUUGGUGACAUGGUGAAGAAACAAGAACUGAAAUAUUGCUAAAGAACAACAAACAGAAUUGAAAAGUAAAGAAAAUGGUGGAGCAUAUGAAUAAAAAGAAAUGAAUUUUUUUUAUUAAUUUUUAAAACAAUGACAUGACGCCUUGUACAUAUACCAGACAUUGGCUGGUCAAAAUGAACUAAAACUCACCUAAUAGCUACCUAACUCCACUUAAUACAUUGGAACUAGGUGAAUUAUGCUUGCACACUUAAACAAAGCUGGUGAUUAGCUCUUUCACUAUCAAAUUACAUCAAAUACAAGCUAAACUAAGUUCAAAAUGAACUAGAUAGCAUUAAAAUGAACAAAACAAAAUAGCUGCAACACUUGGCUCGACAGCUUUUUGCUUGGCAUGAGCUGUUUGAUCUGCUUGCUGGUGCAUGUGUUGCAUGGAGGGUCAUUCUCUAACAAAAACUGCAGAUGUGUUUGCUUUUGGGACUUUUCUGCUAGAGGUGGCUUAUGGGAGGAAGCCAUUGGAUCCUAAUGCACCAUCCGAAGAGAUUCUUCUAGUCGAUUUAGUAAAUAGAUGCUGGAAAAGAGAUGCCAUUGUUGAUGCUAUAGAUCCAAGAUUAUAGGGGAAUUACAUGGUGGAGGAAAUGGAGAAUGUUGUGAAACUAGGUCUGCUUUGUUCCCACCCCAAACUAGAUUUGAGACCCACCAUUAAAGAAGUGCAAUAUCUUGAAGGCAAUGCUAGUUUGCCUAAUAUAACACUUGACAGUGCCCCGAAUAUUAUGCCAUCUUCUAUCCUUGAAACCUUUCAAGUACGUGAUCAGACUACUGAAAUUAGCCUAUCUGUAGCAGAUAACUCGGGCUCUGAUAGUAUAAUUUUGUUUUCUUCAUCAACUGGGAAGGGUGUUUCUCUGAAUUCCUUGUCUAGUGCAUAUACAAUUCUUCGUACAGGUCGCUGAAAGUUCCAAUGGAAAUGUUGUACAUCUGUUCUUUCUUUUUUGAAAUUCUUUCCUGAAUAUACCCAUAGUUUUUUUCCGAUGUUCUGCAAGCCAGUCGAUUUGAUCUUUUGUGGGUUAGUCUUAUAAUACCAAGUUUGUUGCUAGCCUAUAUAUGUAUUGAGCUUGCUAGAACAACUAAACCAGGCGUGUGUAUCAAUUGUAAGCACUUGAAAUGAAACUAAAUAUUUAUUUGUUUGUAAUCCAAAAGUUUGAGGCUAUAUAUCCAAAUUCUGUAACCCUUGAGUUAGCUCAACUAAAAUGAAUCGGUAAAGGUAGUUUCUACAAAGGGGAGAGUUGAUAGUAAAGGUGCGAAGGUUUUUUGGAUAAGCAAGUUCUGAGUAAAUUAGUUAGGAGUGUAGUGAGAGAGUGGAAUUGGAUUGGUUAGAAGAGAAUUUUGGAGACUUUGUGUAAGCAUUUCCUGAUUGAGUUUGAAAAGAAUGAGGGGUGAUGGUUGGCCAUGGCUGAUAUAAUGGUUCACAAAUGCUAGCCCAUGAUCGGAGGAGUUUAGUCUAAGGAUAAAUUUAAUGUUUGGGAAGGUACGCAUUUUCUAUGUUAUGAAUAGAAAUGAGUCAACAAGGCAAUAGUGAAUCAUGCAUGUGCUCUUCGUCUGGGUUAUGUGCCAGCUCAGUUGUAAACUGGAUCAGUACUUUCCCUAUUAAAAUGGCUUUCAAUCUUCAUACCUUCUCUGCUCAGUGUCUACAUGUUUUCCAUAUAAAAAGGGAAUGCGUGUGUGAGCCGAUCAACAAGACAUUUGAAGAGUGGAAUAGUCAAGGUUUCACACCUGAUAAUUUCAGAGAAAAUAAAUCUGAAUGAAGUUAAUCCUCAUUAUGCAUUUAUACUAAUUCGCAAAAUGGAUCAUAGUGCAAAAUAGUUUAUCCGUUAAUGUUGUGCCAUUAAAACUUUAUUUUAGUCUUUCAUAUACAAAACAUACCCAAUAAAUUUAAUUUUUUAUCUUUUGGUCAAAUUAGCACAAUAUUAAAUUAUUAAAUAAUUUUUUUUUAAAAAAUAUGAUUCCAAAAAUUAUGGAAAGAAACUCUUAAAAAAUAAAAUUUUAAAAUAUUAUUAGAGUUUAUUAAUUUUAUAAUUUAUUAUAUUUUUAUAAUUUUAAUAAUUUUAUAUAAAUUUUAACAUUUUUAUUAUAUUUUUCUGUUUUUCUAAUUAUGCUUAUGGAAAAAGUAUUAUAUUACACUAGAAGUUGCAACAUGUUAUCAUUUAAUUGGUCCAUCAAUUUAUUUAAUAGACAUCAUGGUCAAUAACGAAAAUUAUUAACAAAAAAAUUUUAAUUGAUUAUUUUAAUUAACUAUAAAAACUUAAUUAAUUAUUUUAAUUAAUAACAAUGAAUUAAUUAGACGUGAAUUUAAUACAUAAAAUGUUAAUUGUUAAAAUAACCAUAAUAAACCGGGUGGUUUUUUUACAAUUAAAAGACUUCUGACUAUUUUAAUGCAUUUCAAUGGGUUUAUAACUACGGUUCAAAUCAUUAAAAAAAAAACGGCUCUAAUCAACCAAAAAUAAAAAUAUAUUCACUCUCUCACAUUAAAUGUCAGUUAAAUAUCUUCUUGUUUUCCUACAAAACUCUUUGUACAAUUUUAGUAAAAUCAAACAAGUAUGUUAUUGAUUAAUUUAAUGUUAAAGGCUAAUUUUGGGCCAUCCCUAAAUUACUCAGCCCAAUACAUUAAAUCCCAACAAUUUUGAACCCAAACUAAACCUACCCAUUACAUCAAACCCCAAGACCCAAACAUCUAACCCAAACCCGGUUGGCCCACUAAAACCUAAACCAACCACUAACCAAACCUUAACCCAUCAGACCCACAACAACCCAAUGACUAAACCUAACCCACUUACAACCAAUUACCCAAACCCAAUACAAAACCCUUAGCCCAACUAAACAUUAAGCCCAAUACCACAAAUCAAAAAUAAAAAAUACCUAAACCCUAACCCUAGCUUGUGACGCCGAAUCCUUUGUCAUUCGGCCACCCACCGUUCACCCACUCUCUGCUCCACCACCCCAAUACCUGCAAGAAGAGACAGAAACAAUAAAAAAAUGAUUGAAAGAGGGUUAUAAAACCCGAAUCAGAAUUGUAAAAAAAGGGGGGGAGAAUAUGGUUUAAUACAACAAACGAAUGUAACGAGGGCAUUUUUUUCUUUCUUUCCGAAUAUUCAAAAGAAAGAACAAAAACAAUACAAGCACAAACAGAUCGGAAAUAUAUAAGGGGAAAUACAAAAAAUAAGUCGAUCCAGUAACCAAAUACCAACAUCAAAACCUUAAGGUGAAUAUUUUUUAUUUUUAUCUCUGUUUUUACUUUUGAAUUUAUUCCCUGUACAUUUAUAAAUACAAAAAUAUAAAUAAACAUAACAAUUUUAAAAACAUAAAUAAAAAGCAAAAAAAAUAAAAAAAAUUAGAAAUGUACCUUCUCCGGCCACCGUGCGCGGUGGCCCGCGUCGGCGACAGACGGCGGCUGACUAUCGGUCGGUGACCGGCCCCCAGGCCGAGAACCCCUUCCCCCUCCCUUCUCUCUUCUUUCUCUCUCUUUUUUUUUCCCUUUCCCCUCUCAAAUGAUUUUUUUCAAAUUUUUUUUAUCUUUUAUAGGGGACCAAAACGUACCGUUUUGGUCCCCCCGGUUAAAACAAAAACAACGUCGUUUUGGCCCUGGGUCGGGUCGACCCGACCCGCUCCAAACAGGAUCCGCGUGUUUUUUAAAGCGGAAGGGCUAAUUGCGCUUUUAGCCCUUCCGCUUUUCUGGGAUUUUACAAUCAAGUUUUUUCAUUUUCAAUUUGGCCCCAUAAUUUUCAGCGCUUUUCAAUUUGGUCCCCCGUGCUGCGCUGUGUUUUGACCAAGGGGUUUAUUGUGCUUUUAGCCCCUCCAAGUUAGGCGCGUUUUAUAAUUUCGUCCUCUUCUUUUUAUUUUUAUUUCAAAUCGGCCCCAAUAACUAGUUUUUCAAUUCAAUUUCGUCCUUUUUUUACUUUUUCCGUUAUUCUAUUUUAAUUUUAUUAUUAUUAUUAUCAUCAUUAUUAUUUAUUAGUGUAUAGUUUAUGUAUAUAUGUAUAUAUGUAGUAAUGUUCUAUUAUUUUAUUUUUAUAAUUUCAUUAUUAUAGCAACUUUUUGUAUCUCAAUAUUACUAUCUAUAUUAUUAUUAUUUUACCACAUUAUUAUAUUAUUGCUGUUAUUAAUAUACUAUUAUUAUAUUUAUUAAUAAUAUUAUUAGUACUAAUAUAUAUUUUCGCUUAAUGUUUAUGUAUGUGUCUACGUGUAUGUAUUUAUGUAUUGUACUAAUAGUUUUCUUUUUUCAUAUUAUUAUCUCUAAUAUAUGUAUAUAUUGUAUAUGUUUAUAUUAUAUAUAUAUUAUUUCUUUACUAUUCCAUGUAUAUAUUUUUAUACCAUAUCGUGUAUAUAUCCUCAUCACUCCUAUCAUCAUUAUUAAUAUUAAUCGUGUAUAUAUACCUUCGUCUUUUCUUUAUAAACUCGAGCAUUUUCAUAUGCAUCGUUUCUAAUUUCCUCGAGUUCCUGGAUGUCUAACUUCCGAGACUUCCCUGCAGACUCCAUUUCCAUAUUACACUGCUUAACUGCCCAAAAAGCCUUGUGCUCUAACUCGACCGGAAGAUGGCACGGUUUACCGAAAACGAGUCGGUAAGGUGACAUGCCUAUUGGUCUCUUGUAAGCUGUCCUAUAGGCCCCAAGUGAGUCAUUCAGUCUCAAACUCCAACCCUUCCUCUUAGGUUUAACCGUCUUUUCCAGAAUAGACUUGAUCUCUCGAUUUGACACUUCGGCUUGCUCGUUUGUUUGUUGAUGGUAAGCAGUGGCAAUUCGUUGAGUCACUCCAUAUUUCUCCAUUAAUGCACUUAUGAGUUUAUUGCAAAAAUGUGUUCCUCUGUCACUGAUUAAUGCUCGGGGAGUGCCAUACCUGGAAAAAAUAGAACUUUUAAGAAAGUCAACUACGGUCUUAGCAUUAUCAUUGCGAGUGGCCUUUGCUUCUAUCCACUUAGAGACAUAAUCAACAGCUAAGAGUAUAUAAAAAUUACCGAAAGAAGAAACGAAGGGACCCAUAAAGUCGAUGCCCCAUAUAUCAAAAAUUUCACAAAUAUGAAUAGGAAUAAGAGGCAUCUCAUUUCGACGACUAAGGUUGCCAACUCUUUGGCAUUUUUCACAAGCUUUGCAGAAAUAAAAGGCAUCACGAAAUAUGUUGGGCCAAAAUAAUCCACAUUCGAGAAUUUUGUGUGCAAUGCGUUUAGGUCCAAAGUGCCCUCCGCAUGCAUAAGAAUGACAAAAAGUUAAGAUAGAUUGUACCUUUGUUUCUGCUACACAACGUCAUAUUACCUGAUCCGAGCAAUGCUUCCAAAGGUAAGGAUCAUCCUAAAUGUAAUAUCGUGCAUCCUUUCUUAUCUUAUCUUUUUUAGACCUUGGCAAAUAUGAAGGAAUAGUACCUGUGACAAGGUAAUUUAUUAUGUCUGCAUACCAAGGAUGCUCUGCAUUUGCUGAAAACAGGUUUUCAUCUGGAAAGUUGUCAUUCAAUGGUGUGUCGUCUACUGGAAUCGGUAAUCGACUCAGAUGGUCAGCUACUAGGUUUUCGCUUCCCUUCUUAUCCCGAAUUUCAAAAUCAAACUCUUGUAGGAGUAGAAUCCACCUGAUUAGUUGGGGUUUUGCCUCCUUCUUCCCUAUUAAAUAUUUCAAAGCUGCAUGAUCAGAAAAGAUAAUUACCUUAGUUCCCAAUAGGUAAGAUCUAAAUUUAUCUAAAGCAAACACAACAGCUAAUAAUUCUUUCUUGGUCGUUGUGUAAUUGCUUUGGGCAGCAUCCAAAAUCUUCGAAGCAUAGUAGAUAACAUGAGGCUCUUUCUCUAUUCUUUGGCCAAGAACAGCUCCCACACUUUGGUCGCUCGCAUCACACAUGAUUUUGAACUGGAAGUUCCAAUUUGGUGGCUGUACUAUGGGAGCGGAGACCCAUUUCUGCUUCAGCACAUCAAAUGCGUCUUUACAAGUCUGGUCAAAUUCAAAUUCUUUAUCCUUUUGUAACAGACUACAAAGUGGUCACGCGAUUUUCGAGAAAUCUUUCAUGAAUCGUCUGUAGAAUCCUGCAUGGCCAAGAAACAAACGAACUUCCCUCACUGAUGAAGGGUAAGGUAACGAGUUAAUAAUGUCCGUUUUUGCCUUAUCGACCUCGAUUCCUUUCGAGGAAACUAUAUGACCCAAAAUUAAUCCUUUGUCAACCAUGAAAUGACAUUUCUCAUAAUUUAAAACAAGAUUAAAUUCUAUGCAUCUUUGUAAUAUCUUAGCAAGAUUAUUGAGACAUUCGUUAAAAGAGUUACCGUAUACCGUGAAGUCAUCCAUAAAGACUUCGAUGAUUUUCUCGACGUAAUCAGAGAAUAUGCUCACCAUGCAUCUUUGGAAGGUGGCCGGAGCAUUGCAGAGUCCAAAUGGCAUCCGUCUAUACGCAAAUGUUCCGAAGGGACACGUGAAAGUUGUUUUUUCUUGAUCCUUCGGAGCCACUGGAAUCUGGAAAAAUCCUGAGUACCCAUCGAGACAACAAUAAUGGGACUUACCGGCUAAUCGUUCGAGCAUUUGAUCGAUGAAGGGGAGUGGAAAAUGGUCUUUUCGGGUAGCUGCAUUCAACUUCCUGUAAUCGAUGCAAACCCUCCAUCCAUUCUGUACCCGUGUAGGGACCAGCUCACCUAAUUGGUUUUUCACCACUGUCACACCAGUUUUCUUGAGCACGACAUGAACCGGGCUAACCCAAUUACUGUCAGAAAUCGAAUAUAUCAUUCUAGCAUCUAACAGUUUUUGGAUCCCUUUCUUUACUACCUCUAUCAUGGGUGGAUUAAGGCGUCGUUGAGCAUCCCUCUUUGGUUUCGUGUUGUCUUCAAUGGAAAUUUUGUGCAUACAGGUGGAUGGACUUAGCCCUUUUAUGUCGGCUAUCGUCCAACCAAUAGCUUUCUUAUAAUCUCUCAGAACUCGAACUAGACUUUCCUCCUCGUCUUUGGUUAACUUGUUUGACAUUAUUACCGGUAAGGUGUCUUUCUCUCCCAAAAAGACGUACUUAAGAUGGUCCGGUAAUGCUUUAAGCUCCAAGAUCGGUGGCUGUAAAACUGAGGGUAACAUUUUAGUUUGGGAAGGUAAUAGUUCAAAUUGGUUACCUCGGUUUGUGAACGAAGGUUGCAUAUCCAAAUGAUUGACGAUUUCUUACAACGGAUCUUCAAUGACUGCGAAUUCCUCGAGAUGAUGUAAAACUUCCAUGUCAAUGUUUCUGAAAAGGAUAGUUUCCAACUCAUCAAAGUCAUGAUAUUCAGAAUAAGACUGAGUUAAACAAUCUAAAAUAUCAAUUCUAGAAAUAUUCAAUAGUGAGUUAGGAUGACUCAUAGCCUCGUAGACAUUGAAUUUCAGAAUUUUGCCAUCAAACUCCAUGGUCAGCGUCCCACUUUGAACAUCUAUUUUUGCGCUUGCGGUACUUAGAAACGACCUUCCAAGCAAAAUGUCAGAUGAAUUAGUUGAAUUAUCAUCUUCCAUACUAAUAAUGUAAAAAUCUGCAGGGAAAACUAAUUCAUUAACUUUAACAAGGACGUCUUCAAGUAGCCCUUCGGGAUAGACGACUGACCUGUCCGCCAACUGGAUUAUUACUCCUGUCUCUUUUAAAGGACCCGCGUUAAUCAACUUAUAAAUAGAAUAAGGCAUAACAUUAAUAGAAGCCCCUAAAUCACACAUGGCUUUCUUAAUGCCUACAUUACCUAUCUCACAGGAAAUAGCAAACAUACCUUGGUCCUUGUAUUUGGGCUGAACUUUCUUUUGCAAUACUGCGGAGACAUUUUUUCCUACAUUUACUCUUUCAUUGCCUAUUAACCUCAUUUUGCUAGUACACAAUUCCUUGAGGAAUUUUGCAUAACGGGGGAUCUGUUUGAUAGCGUCGAGUAAAGGAAUAUUUACCUCCACCUUCCUGAAUGUCUUGAAGGUUUCUUUUUCCUCCUUCUCUUUCUUAUCCCUUGCAAGCCUCCCUAGAAAAGGAGGUGGCAUCACAACUGGUUUCUGAACUUCUGACUCUGGCCUGGUUGUUGGAUCGGAGAUCUGCUUUUCCUGUUCCUUUUCUUGCCCAUGACUUUUAGUUGGUACUGUUUCCAGAACCUUUCCGCUAUGAAGAGUGAUUGCACUGGCAUUCUGCCGAGGGUUCGGCUCUGUCUGGGAAGGUAAUUUACCAUGAGACUCCAAGUGAUUAACUGCCAUUGAGAGUUUACUAACUUGAUUAGUUAACUCUUGUAUUGAUGCGUCUGUCCUCUGUUGAUAUUUUACAGCAUUGGCGGCAAGUCUUUCCAUAACAGCUUCUAGAGAUGUGUUCGGCUUGUGUUGUUGUUGUGGUUGCAGAGGUCUCGGUUGGUAUGGUGGAUUAUAUUGGGGAUUAGCUCCGUAAUUCAGGUUGGGAUGAUCCUUCCACCCGGGAUUGUAGGUGUUGGAGAAAGGAUCAUAACGUCUUUGCGGAGGUCCUGGAAAACCUCCGAUAGCGUCAACAUGUACCGUUGAAUUGUCGUUAAGGAUUGGGCACAAAUUCAUCGGGUGUUCAGACGUAGUACAAAUUCCACAUAGUGGGGUCAAAUUCUUCUUUUCUGUAAGCAAAGAUUGAACAACAUUCGUAAGCUUAUCCAAUUUAUCUUCUAAAGUUGAAACGUUUACCCCAUUAACCCGUCUUGUUGGUUCCAAAUUUGGCCGAUAUUGUUGAGAAUUUGCCGCCAUGGUGGAUAUUAGCUCUCUUGCCCUUUAAGGGGUCAUAUUGACAAGCGCUCCUCCGCUAGCAGCGUCGAUCAUCUUCAUUUCCAUAGGGAGCAAACCCUCGUAGAAAUAUUGAAGAAGUGAUUGUUCGGUUAACCCAUGUUGAGGACAACUCGCACACAGUUUUUUGUACCGCUCCCAGUAGUCGUAGAGCGAUUCACUCUCCAAUUGGUGAAUUCCCACUAUGUCCCUCCUAAGCUCCGUUGCUCGUGACGCUGGGAAGAACCUGUCAAGAAAUACAUGAGAUAAGUCAUCCCACGUUGUGAUAGAACCGGGAGGUAAGUAAAAUAACCAUUCUUUUGCUGUAUCAACUAAAGAAAAAGGAAAGCCCGAAGUUUGAUCUCAUCUUCGGGUACUCCCUGGGUUUCAUGCUUGAGCAGACCAUGUGGAAUUCUCUCAAGUGAGUGUGUGGAUUUUCAUUCUUCAGGCCUCGAAAAGUGGGCAAAAGGUGAAUCAAGCCCGAAUUCAAUUUGAAAGGGGUUCUUCCGGUUGGAUAGUUGAUGCAUAACGAUGUUUGCUCGUUGGAAGCAGCGGCUAGUUGACGAAUGGUUCGGUUGGCCAUCCUUUCUAGUUCACCGAGGUUGCCUUUUGUUUCAAAGAGUGGUUCGAUCUCAGGUUCAACCUCUUCGACUCGUUUCCCACGUCGAAUUGCCUCUGCGCGAAUUACUUCACUCAAUUUUUCAACGUCGGACUCUAGGAUCCCCUGUCCUAGCUCAAUUCCUGAUUUACUUGCACGUUUAAGAGCUUCUGUCUCUUUUCGUCGAGCUUGUGCUGAUUUCUCGAUCUCUGGGUCGUAUUCGAGAUCUCCUGAUGAAGAUUUGGUCAUAAAGACGAUUUAAACAAUUGUAAGUGUUGCCAGUCCCCGGAAAUGGCGCCAAAACUGAUGGUUGUCGAUUCCACCAAUAUAAACCUACACCUAGUUUGCAAAUUAAAGCAGUAUAGGGAGUAGGGUCGAUCCCACAGAGACUGGAAUUACUUAAAAUUGUUUAUUUCUUGACCAGAUUAGUGUCUGGGCAGUUGUCGUGCCCGCGACGUUUAGGGGGGGAAAUAAAAUAUGAAACCUGAAAUAAACACAAGAAAACGUAAAAAGUAAAAAGUAAAAGAUGAAAUAAAAAUAAAAAGAUGAAAUAAAAAUAAAUAACAAAAUGAUUUAAAGGAAAAUCAAUAAAACUUAGCUCAGCCUUAAGCACGGGUUUUCCUGUCUUUGACCCGUUUCUCGAAAUUAGGUGAACUCCUCUUUUUCGAUAAGCUAGUUAUAGCUACCAAGGACGCCUCGGACACCAACUUUUCCUUGUGUAAAUUAGUUAUGGAACGUCCUAUAACUAACCCUUACCGAUCGAACAACCUACGAAACGUUCGUGAUUUAGAACUCCGGUAGCUUUGCGUUCUAGAAGAGCCUAGCUCGAACCAAUGCCCUCAAACGUUGAGACAUUUAAAUCCGGCUACUACUUCCCUUGACGGAACCAAACAGCAAUCCCCACUUGGCACGCCAAUGUGUUCACGGAAGACCAAUUAGACAAUCGAUCCUUUCGGAAUUCCAACUGUACGUCUAGCCACACUAACUCAAACGACGUCUUUUUUUGACUUAGUAUUGACUUGACUUUGUGAGUUGACGAAGUCAUACUCUUAAUCCGGAGAAAUAGUAAAUAUCGAAAGUUGGGAGUUAAACAGCUCGGGUUCGUAACUCAUGGGUAUUUUGACGGGGUUAACACCGGCUUAAAGCUGAAAGAGGUUUAGUGUGGCAUGAAUUUAAUCAUGCUUGAAGGUUAUAGAAAUGAUAGAAAUUAUAUGAAAAAGGUAGUGGAAAUGGAUAAGAAAAAUUGCAAAGAGAUUUAGACAAAUUUUGUAAAAAGAAGACAAAAUAAUCUAAUGCUCAAUUGAAUUAUGAAAAAGAAAACAAAGUGGAUAAUGGAAUUCCAAAAUGAAAUAGGAAUGUAAAGACAAUUGAUUAAUGAAUGAUUUCCUAAGAACUAAAACCCCCUAUUUAUAUAGAUAGGGUUUACUAAAAAUAGCUUAAGAAAAUUAAUAUAAAAUCUAAAAUAAUAAUAAUUAAAAAUAAAUAAAAUUAAAAUAAACUUAAAAUAGAAUUUCCUAUUUUUGGCUUUUUACAAAGUCAAAUUUAUGACUAGUCCUUGGCUUGCUCCAUCUUUUCGCUUUGGCCCAUUCUAAUAAUUUUCUUCUAAUUUGGCCCCUUUUCAGCUUGCUUUUGAUCAAUUGCAUCCCUGACAAGAAUUAAAUCAUAAAAACACUUAAUUAGCAGGAUUCAGUUCAUCAAUAAACCAAAUUAGGCAUAAAAAAUAUGCAAUUUGACAUGUUUAUCAUGUUAUUAUACUCAUUAAUUUACUUAUUAUUUUCCAUAUUGUCACUCAUGAUAUUAAUAUUAUUAUAUGUUAUUUGGUGUACAUAUAUCUUUUUAUUGUUACUAUUUUUACCAUUAUUAUUAGUACAGGUCUGUUAUAUAUGUAUAUUGUAUAUGUUCAUUUUAAAUAUGUUAUGUGUAUAUAUAUAUAUUAUGUACCCAUAUUAGUAUUAUUAUGUAAACCCUUUUCAUUCCUAUUUUACGUACACAUUCUUAAUGUCAUUAUUACGUAUAUACAUUCAUUGUUUCCAUCUCAUAUUCAAUUCUAGUAUUACAUUAUAUCUUUAUUGUUUAUAAUAUUAUUGUCACACUUAUAUUUGUUUCAAUGUACUUCUAGAUUUGUUGUUUAUUUAUUUUUAUUUCAAUCAAUUCGCUUUACGUUCAAACGAAAAUCUUUUUAUAAUUAAUUUCAAUAAUCAAGGCAAUGCACCGAUUUCACAAUAAGUCAUCAAAUUUCAUCGCUAUGUUGGAUGGAAUUUGACGGCUCGUGUUAAAACGGUAUAUCCUUCUCAAAAACCAAAAAAACUAAAAUUUCUCCUCUUUUCAAUUGAAUUACGACUAAAUGUUACAUUGAACUUGCAUUUUUUAAAAUCAAGACAACACUUGUUUAUAAGAUACCAAUUUUGGGCGUCGCGAGGGUGCUAAUACCUUCUUCGCGUGUAACCGACUCCCGAACCCUACUUUUUCUCUGAAUUUUGACGUAGACCUAAACUCGGCCUUCUUUUUGUUUUAAAAAUAAAUUUAUUAGGUGUCCGAUCACACCUAUAAAAAGGAUCGGUGGCGACUCCCUUUUUUUGUAAAAUCAAACUUCAGUUUUCAAAUUUUCAAUAGAUCGCCACAAUUAGUGACCAAGCAAAACCAAAAUUUUUACGUCGCUACAGCUGGCGACUCCGCUGGGGACCUUUUUUUGA
Molecule: long non-coding RNA, 45551 nt
Filed under: Gossypium barbadense (sea-island cotton)
Lineage: Eukaryota; Viridiplantae; Streptophyta; Magnoliopsida; Malvales; Malvaceae
Description: long non-coding RNA (GBAR_LNC003963)
Source: RNAcentral